This 60829-nucleotide long non-coding RNA is filed under the name Brassica napus (rape). RNAcentral's name for it is "long non-coding RNA (BNAP_LNC008879)". Lineage: Eukaryota; Viridiplantae; Streptophyta; Magnoliopsida; Brassicales; Brassicaceae. The record is from RNAcentral.
ACCUUUUCCAACAACACCCUCAAGUGCCUCCAAGGUGCUGAGGGACGCAGCAAAGUCGUUGGCCCAGAUGUUCCUUCCAUCAACAACACCAGCGAAGAGGUACUUUCCCUCGGGGAAACCAGCCUUGACCAAAUCAAGGGUCUUGGUGCCACGAACCAAGUCAAAUCCAAAGGCAGUCACACCCUUCAACGAAGUCAGGGUCUUGUAUGCUUCAGCAGGGAUAUCAGCGAAGUAAGUCUCAACAAGAACAUUCAAACCAGAAAGAGUUGAUUCAAGUUCAGCAUAGGCUCCAGUGAAGGCCUGGAGUUUGUGGCCCUCAAGAUCCAUAACGAGAACAGGCUCGUCGAGCUGAAUCCAGGUGGCACCAGCAGCCUUAAGCUCGGUGAUCACUUCCCUGUAGACAAAUCAAAGUAAUAAUGUCAGUGUUGGAUUACCAAUAACAUCAAGGACAUGGAUUGAAAAGUAAAAGAAAGAAUAAAGUGGUUGCAUACUUGUAGACAGGGAGAAUUUUGGGGAGAAGAGAGAGAAGGUCAAAUGACUUCUCCACACCCUUGGCAGCCUUAGAAAGCAACAAGUAAGAGACUGGGCCAACAAGUACAGGGACGGUGUCAACACCAAGCUGCAUAAACAUCAAGCUUAUCGGAUCAGAACUUUAGAUAGAAACUACUUUUGGUGCACAAAAGACAACCAGCGUCAAACUAAUCUUUAACAACUAUUCUAUCAACCGGUUGUAUUUUGUGAGUAAGCAAGCGAGUAUAUUCUUAACGUAUCAACAUCUUCUGUGAAAACCAUUCAAUAUAUCUAAAUUCAAACACUGAAUCCACGAACCCAAGUCUAUGAUCUCCAAUAAAUAGUUAUUUAUUAGUAAAUGGAUGAUAAUAAUAAAGAAAGAUACUUACAGCCUUGGCCUCCUUGUACUCAUUCACAGCCUUGUGAGAUGCGUAAGAGAACUUAACGUCAGGGCCCAACUCAGGAACAAUGUAAUGGCUGCACCAAUUAAACAUCAUUACAUUUUUCCACAACUAAGAAAAACAAACAACGUCACUGCAAGACUGCAAGAUCAGAGUUGGAGACUCACUAGUUGGUGUCAAACCACUUGGUCAUCUCCAUGGCGGGAACAGAGGCGUUACCUCUAGCCAUGGAGAAGUAAACAUCCAAACCGAUCUCACCACUGGUGUAACCGUAUCUGGGUGGAACAGCACCGAGCAUGGCGGUGGUGUCGAGAACCUGGUCGUAGUGAGCAAAGGUGUUGCUGGGGAUGUACUUGGUCCCAGCCUCAGACAUCUGCUUCCAGAUGUUAGCCCUGAGAUCAGCGGACACCUUCUGAAGAUCCUCAGCAGUGCUCUUUCCAUCCCAGAAUGAUUCCAAUGCGAACUUGAGCUCUCUCUUAGGGCCCAUACGUGGGUAUCCAACAAUGUGUGACGCCAUUUUGAUUUCUUUUUUUUUACUGCAUCAAACACAAACCAAAUCAAGAUCAGUAUCAAAUAGUAAAAUACAUUCUCUCUUUCAUAACUUUGUUAAUAUAAUAAUAAUAAAUAAGUUUCAUACUCCAAGAAAGCUGCAACUACAGUUCACGUGUUAACAAAUUAAAAUAAAAUAAAAUCGAAAAGUAGAGCUAUAGCAGCUUUUGUCGUAUUAAUGAUUGAAUGAGUCCACUUCAAAGUAGAAUCGAAAACUUUUAGAUCAAAAUCACAUGCAACAUUUGAUGAUGAUUCAAAGCGGAUCUAACACAGACCAAUGAUCAUUUUCGAACGAUGAAUAUAGAUCGCAGAUCAGAUCCAGAUCUACAGAUCGACCGACACCAAAAAAAAAAAACUCAGAUCUGCAAAUGAUGAGCUCUCUCACCGUUUAGAUCUCAGUGAUAAACACGCAAUACGAACAAACGGAUCGGGGAGGAAUGAGCUAAUAUAUUUGAAUUUAAAAAAAUCACACUCGGUAAGUAAUAAACAAUAACGUGGAGACGAAAACGAAAUGAGAAGGGGAAGGGAGCUAAAUAAGGGAGACGUGGGGAAGCCAUAAAAUCUCGGAGACGUACCUCACGGAGGAAGAAUCGGAGAAAGAGGUUUGGCUACGAUGAAGAGAGAGCGAGGAAGGAGAGUGGCUCUGUGAGUUUAUUUAUAGAUACAAUCGUUGGGCUCUGUGUGAUGUGUAGAUCUGGUGGUGGAUAUUUUAAGCAAUAAUCAUAUAUUUCAACAUUUUAUUUUAUUUAGUUUUUCUCUCAUUUUCUUUCUUUCUAAUACGGCUAUUUAUGUGUUCUGAUUUUCUGAGAUCAUUUUCUAAUUUUCUUACCAUAAUUAAGAAAAUUAAUUACUUUUAGAUUGUAAAAGUAAAACUAGACCAAAAAAGGAACAUGUAUGGACGGAACUAUGAGCAAUUUUAUUUGUUCUUCAAUGUAUUUUUAGCUAGGUAUGUAUUUUUAUUUUUUAGCCUUAAGCAUUUAAAAUGUUAACAGUUUAUACAUGGAUACUUGGAUUAUUUUUUAAGAACGAACUUUUAGAUGAUAUCUUAACGAAUUGACAGGAAUAUCGUAAUUACAAAUUUGUAAAAUACCGGUAAUGGUAUUAAAUAUUUUCAUUAGUAAAGCUAAAUCAUUUUUACAGCAGUAAAGUCCAAUCAUUUAAUUAAAACGUAUUUAUAAAAGUAUAUUAAAGCGAUUAAAUAGAGGAUUAAAACGUGAAGGGGAGUUGGUGUCUACGUAUAUGAGGGAUUAGUAGUAGUGGGUCCUACGGAGGUUGGUGGAGAUUCACAUUUCACAGUGAAGUUUCUGUUAAAUACGGCUGCGUUUAGUGUCGGCCCGAAGAGUAUCGACAUCGAGGCCUGUUCCGCAGUGUUUUGAAAACCAAGUUGGAGUGGUUAUUGAACCUGAUUAUUUUUGAUGAAUUUGAUUUUUUGCUUCAAUACUUUUUGGAAUGUUAUUAUUAGAUUCAUACAAGUUAAAUUUUCGCUAGUUAACAUGUAACUAUUUCGAUGAUGGUUCAUUUUCCUCUUUAUACAGUGGUCAGUAAAUACUAGUAGUAUUCAUCUUUUUUUUUUUGGAUCAAACUAGUAGUAUUCAUCUAUCACCCACCAAUAAAAGCUUAGGCAACUGAGAUAAACUGGAUCAAAAUAUUUUGGUGGAUGAAUAUAGUAGUAGGUAAUGAAAGGGAGAUUAUGGAUCCAUGAUGUAUAUGUUAUUGUUUUAAGAUUCAUAAACAAAGUGAUGAGUGCUCUUUUACCAAAAAAAAAAAGAAAAAAAAAAAAAAAGAAGUGAUGAGUGGUCUUCAUCUUGUUGUUUGCUUUGAUAAUUCGGCCACCAAACAUUGAUUCUAUUAACGUCAUCGCUUCCCUUGAUUACAUGGUAAUUAUCCUUCUCGUCUUAUUUUACUGAAUUUUUGGGUGUAUUUUGAAUAUUAGUGAUAUUCACAAGACUCAACAGUCCAUAUCACAUACUGCUAAUAGAUUACGAAUAUAAUAUUUAUGCACAGUGAGAUAAGUAUGUUAUAUCUUAUACCAGUCGUUAAUCCUCAGUUUUAUUACGCAACUCAAAGUCUAACCUAUAGAAUAGCACAUACACUAGUUGAUUAUUAAUUAUAAAGCUCUUUUGCGUGACUUGUAAGAUUAUUCUAAGUUCAACAACUAGUUUGGAACUGUGUAGGUCUAUUUUAAGAGAUGACGUUGUUGCAAACUCAGAAAACAGUCAACAAAGUGCUGCUUUUCCUUACGGACGCCAACAAAAUGCUUAUUAAAGACUGUUUGACACAAUAUGGAUACUAAAUUAUAGGCUAACUAUAUAGUUUGUAUUAGUUUUAUUACUAGCAAUUGUCAAUCGCACGGCAUAAGUUUAACAGCAGUUACAUGUGACUUUACAAGAAGAUUUGCAUAUGCAUCCUUAAAGUUGUUUUGUCGGUGGAUUUAGAUCUACCAUCAUAAUAACAGCAAAAGUCGUACGAGCAUUUAAUGAAAAUUCUCCUUUUCUUUUUUCAUUUUCAUUUUAUUGUUCUGCAACCUAAACAAGUAAUACCAUAAUCAAGCUCAAACGAAAAAAAAAGAAGAAGAAGAUCUGUAAUAUACUUUAUGAAAUUAUUGAACUAAUUCGUAUGCGAAUUGUGAAAAUUAUACGACUUAUGAUAUAUGGUGUACGCAUCCCUUUUUUUUUGCCAUCUUGAGUUUGGUAGAUCGUUUAGUAAACGAAUCACAAGAUCCAAAAACAUCCUUAUUGCUGGCUUAUUAAACUUUGUGAUUAAACUAUGAUAAAGGAAUGCUUUUAGGCAUGUGACAUAUUACAUGAUUACAUAUGCAUUAUGAUUUGAAUUGAAAUAUGAUAAUUUAAAUAAUUUAUAAAUCUUUUGUAAUGUAUACAUGCUAAUUUAAAGAACACAAAGACUAAGAAAUUAUUCAUCUAAUCUCAAUCACAAGGCUCCAUGUUAAAAGUGAGUAAAACAUGAAAAUGAAAGCCAACCACUUUUUAGGUAGAGUCCAUUCUUAUAGAUUACACAAUGCUAACCCUAUAGCUAGAGUUGAAAAGAACAACGAUGUAGAGCAACUCUACCUUUUAGACAAUGUUCAAAGAAGAAUCCAAACAUCAAUAAUUUCUGGAAUAAAAUUUAGGAGACUAACUUCUUAGCCUUGUAUUCUCUGCGAACUCUCCUGAGCUCUACAGUCUGGGGGAAGGAUCCAAUGGUGGUGGUUGGCAGGAUUGGGAGGUUAAGCUUCUUCUGCUGAGCAUCUAACCUAGCGCUAACAUUAGUUGCACGACGGUGGUCUGAGCCCUUCAAAGCAGCAGCCUGAGAUAACAAAUCAGAAACCAUCUCGAUCAAUAAAUGCUAAGGAGAAAUCAGUGACUGUGGAGAUGGCUGAGGUUUGCGCCAAACUUACAGCCUUCUGGACACCCUCGUUGGUGACUCUUGGGGAAGACCUCCUUGAAGCCAAAGCAGCAGCGUUGGCGGAGAAAAGGGCCUGAAAGGGAAUACAAUAUUAGCAUUCUAGUGUUUACUAAAUCAUUUACAUUGCAAAACUAUUCAAGGAUUUAAUAAAGUAGGUGGAUAAAAUUUCUACCUCAUCCUUCUGACCAGCCAAAGCCUUGGCCAGUGCGUUCACUUCAACGAUCUUCUGGGCAGCAAACGCCAACCAUGACUUGAUUUCGUCGUCAAGCUUGGUCUCGUUUACAAGAUCGACAGCGGUGUGGAGAAGAGAGCAGGAGGUUGAGACCACAAGCUUGUCUGAAUCAAUGCAGAAAGAUAACAGAUCAACGUUUGAAAUAUUUGUUUAGUAUAUUUUCGGGUGACUCAGGUAAAAGGCAGGCGAUUCUGGAAGCACUUAUUUACCUUUUCCAACAACACCCUCAAGUGCCUCCAAGGUGCUGAGAGACGCAGCAAAGUCAUUGGCCCAGAUGUUCCUUCCAUCAACAACACCAGCGAAGAGGUACUUUCCCUCGGGGAAACCAGCCUUGACUAAAUCAAGGGUCUUUGUGCCACGAACCAAGUCAAAUCCAAAGGCAGUCACACCCUUCAACGAAGUUAGGGUCUUGUAUGCUUCAGCAGGGAUAUCAGCGAAGUAGGUCUCAACAAGAACAUUCAAACCAGACAGAGUUGAUUCAAGUUCAGCAUAAGCCCCAGUGAGGGCCUGGAGUUUGUGGCCCUCAAGAUCCAUGACAAGGACAGGCUCGUCAAGCUGAAUCCAGGUGGCACCAGCUGCCUUAAGCUCUGUGAUCACUUCCCUGUACACAAAUCAAAGUCAUAAUAUCAGUGACAUGUUAGACGAUCAUUCAUAACUAAAAUAAAAAGGAAGUGAUUUCUUACUUGUAGACAGGGAGAAUUUUGGGGAGAAGAGAAAGAAGGUCAAAAGACUUCUCUACACCCUUGGCAGCCUUAGAAAGCAACAAGUAAGAGACAGGGCCAACAAGUACGGGGACGGUGUCAACACCAAGCUGCAUAACAUAAAGUUUUAUAGGAUCAGAACUUCAGAAUAGCAAUCUAGCAGAUGAAAGAAAGAAACCUACUUUAAGUGUACAAACGACAAUUAGCAGAAGAACAAGAAACUACUUUAGGUGUCAAAACACAACCAGAGUCAAAUUAAUUUAUAUCAGCUAUUCUAUCAAGUAACUGGUGUUUAUGAAUGUGCAAGUGAGUAUAUUCUUAAUUCAUCACUUGUCUAUGUGAUUAUGUGAAACAGCGUUCAGUGAAUCUAAGCUCAAACAGUAAAUCCUGGAACCAAAGCCUAUUAUCUCUAAUAGAUUAGUCCUAAAGCAGACUGUAAAAUUCAUAAGAAAUUGAAAAUAGCGAAGAAUAAUACGUACAGCCUUGGCCUCCUUGUACUCAUUCACAGCCUUGUGCGAUGCGUACGAAAAGUUAACCUCAGGGCCCAACUCAGGGACGAUGUAAUGGCUGCAUCAACAAAACAUCAUUACAUUAGUCCAAUAUUCAAAAAAAAAAGCCCAACUAACAAUGUCGCUGCAAGGGAGACGAGACUCACUAGUUGGUGUCAAACCACUUGGUCAUCUCCAUGGCGGGAACAGAGGCAUUUCCUCUAGCCAUGGAGAAGUAAACAUCCAACCCAAUCUCACCACCGGUGUAACCGUAUCUGGGUGGAACAGCACCGAGCAUGGCGGUGGUGUCAAGAACCUGAUCGUAGUGAGCAAAGGUGUUGCUUGGGAUGUACUUGGUCCCAGCCUCAGACAUCUGCUUCCAGAUACCCGACCUGAUAUCAGCAGACACCUUCUGAAGAUCCUCAGCAGUGCUCUUCUUAUCCCAGAAUGACUCCAACGCGAACUUGAGCUCUCUCUUGGGGCCCAUACGUGGAUAUCCAACAAUGUGCGACGCCAUUUUUGAUUUUCUUUAACUGCAACAAACAAAACAAACAAGAUCAAUAUCUCAUAUUUAAAUAAAAGAUUUAUUAAUAUAUAUAAUAAUAAGGCUAAGUUACUGACUCCAAGAAAGCAGCCAACAACAGUUCACGUGUACGCAAAAAAAAAAAAUAUCGAAAAGUGUAGCAGCUUUUUGUCGUAUUAUAUGAUUGAGAUAAACGAGACGAGUCCACUUCAGAGUGGAAUUUGAAAAGUUUUAGAUCAGAUCACAUGCAACAUUUUAUCACUAGGAGAUGAUCUAAAGCGGAUCUAACACACACGAGCUCAUAACGACGACCAUUUUCAAUAGAUCGCAAAUCAGAUCGAGAACCAGAUCUACGAAUCGAAUAACACUAGAAACUCAGAUCUGUGACUGAUGAAGUCUCUCACCGUUUAGAUAUACACUACGAACAAACAGAUCGCGGAGAAAUAGAACCAAAUAUGAUAUUCAAAUCUAAUCACAGUCGAGAGAGUAGUAAUAACAAUAACAACAACGUGGAGACGAAGAACGAAAUGAAUAACGAAGGGGGAAGCUAGCUAAAUAAGGGAGAACGUAGGGAAGGUAGAGAAACUCGGAGACGUACCUCACGGAGGAAGAAUCGGAGAAGAGAAGAAGAAAGGGUUGGCUACGAAGAAGAGAAGGCGAGGAAGGAGAGUGGGCUUGCGAGUUUAUUUAUAGCAAAAACAAAUAAUGAUAGAUCGUUGGGCUCUCUGCAUUAUUGUCUAGAUCUGGUGGUUGAUAUUUUCGGCAUUUAUCAUUUAUUUUUCAUUUUAUUUUCUUUUUACGGCUAUUUAUUUGCAUUUAUUUUCCUACAAUAUAUUUUCUUACCAAAAGUGUGGAAAAUUAAUAAGUAUGAAUAAAGCUAGUAAAUACGAUUCUAUCAGUACUACAACAUACCUAUCACCUUUUCAUUUUAUUUUCCCACAAUAUGUUUUGAUUUCAGAAAAAAAACAGUCACUAAUUUUCUUUAUUUGUCUCCCUCACCACAUAUUAUUUAUAAUUAAAUCAUAUAUAUACUCGAAUACUAAAUAAAAUAAAUUCAUAUAAAACUUAGUUAAAAAAAUUAUUAGUAAUUUAUGUUCUUCAAUGUAUUUUAGUUGCGUAUGUAUUUUGGCUUGAAAUUUAAAAAUAUGAACAAAGUAAUAUAUGGUUCACUAAAACGGAUCUUUAGAUAAUAUCUUAACUAAUUAACAGAAAUAUCUUAGCUUCAAAUUUGUAUUAGUAGUUUGGAUUAGUAAAGAUCAAUCUAUUUAUUUUUACUGUAGUAAAUCCUAAUCAUCUAGUUAGUCGUAUUAAGAAAUUAAAUAGAGAAUUAAAACGUGAAGGGGAGUUGGUGGUGUGCGUGGAGCGAUUAGUAGGUGGCAUGGGACCCACGGAGGUUGGUGGGGAUUCACAUUUCACAGUGAAGUUUCUGCUAAAUACGACGGCGUUUAGCAUUCAGCACGAAGAGUAUCGACAUUGAGCGCUGCUCGUGCUCGGCAGCGUUUUGGAAACCAUGUGGAGGUUGAAGCUGACUAUUUUUGAUAAAAUAAAAAAUAAAUUCCCAUAAUUUGACUACUAAAAAUACAUUUUAGGUUAGUAAAUACAAUAGUCAUAAUCAUGAUAUUUAUGUUUUUAUAGAACUGGCCGAGAAAAAUAUUAUGGUUGGUGACUAUAGUUGGUGGAGAAGGAUUGUGGCCCCACAAUAUAUAUGUAAUUGUUUAAGAUUCAUAAGCAAAGUGAUGAGUGGUCUUGAUGUUGUUGUUUGCUGAUGAUUUGGCCACCGUAUAUUGAUUCUUAACUUAUAUUAUCUUCAUCGCUUCCCUUAAUUACAUCUUACUUUUUCCUUCUAAUCCUAUUUUGAAUUUUCUUUAUGUUUUUAUGAAGUUAAAUCUUGAAUAUUAAUGAUAAGCAAAAAAAUUUUGACGCUUGCAAAAUAAACUUUGUAUAGACAUCUUAAGAACCUCACUGUUUCUCAAGCUUGCGUUAGGACAUUCGAAGGACUAAAAGUCUAUAUCACAUACUAGUAGUCUAAGAAAUCUAUGCAUAGUGGGAUCGAUAUGGUUUUUCUCAUACCAAUCAUUGAUCCUUAAUUUUAUCAUGUAGUUCAAUGUUUAUAGAAGUCUAACCAUAGUACAUACACUACUUUAUUAAUGUAUAAGCUCUUGUAGAGGGAGUCGUGAGUAUGGUCCAAGUUCAAGAACUAGGUUGGACUUUUUGAGUACCAUUCUCUUGUAUCGGAAACUGUGUAGGUGUGUAUUUCGAGUUUAAAAAAUAAUAAAAUGUAGAAGAUGGUGAUGCUGCUCCAAACCGACAAUUCAGGGCCUGACUGGUUCAACCGCAGCGGUUGCGGUUGCGGGAGUUUGCGGAUGCGGGUGGUUGCGGUUUCUAGCGGUUUUAAGAGAUUCGUACGACUGGUUAUGCGGUUAGAAAUUGGUAAACUCCGAAAACACAAGGCAAAGAUCAAUCUCUAGAUGCCCUGGGAUAUCUAUUCGAAAAAGUUUCCAUACUUGGAGAAGAACCAAUCUUUAUUUCCUUUCAAUACACCUUUUUUAGCUUCCAUACUUGGAGAAGAACCAAUCUUUAUUUCCUUUAAAUACCCCUUAGAAAAAAAGAUAUGUUUCAUAAGAGAAAUGAAGGAUACAAAACGAGAAACACAAAACAAAUCCAAAAGAUACAUAUCUCUCAACUCUCUCAGCAAGAGGGGAAACCAUAUGCAUCAAACCUAACUUCAACUAGAUAUUUUUAGAAAGGUAAUUAAACAAAACAAAAACACAACCAUUAUAGAGAAAAAGAACUCAAGUAUCCUUCUUCAAAUCAUUCAUCUCUUUUCAAGCUUUUCUUCACUUGGCACUGGCGAGCUGGGAGCGGAUGAGUUUAGCCGCAUCAACCAUGUUCUUCAGGGCAGGCUUGACCUCUGUGUACUUACGGGUCUUGAGACCACAGUCAGGGUUAACCCAAAGGAUGUUCUGCUCAAGAACAGCAAGCAUCUUGUUCACUCUCUCUGCGAUUUCCUCAGUUGAUGGUAUUCUUGGAGAGUGGAUGUCGUAGACACCUGGACCAAUUCCAGCACCGUACUUCACUCCUUCACGGAACACAGAGAGAAGCUUCUCAUCAGAUCGGGAGUUCUCGAUGGUGAUGACAUCAGCAUCCAUGUCGAUGAUGGAGUGUAUGAUGUCAUUGAAGUGAGAGUAGCACAUGUGAGUGUGGAUCUGCAUAAUAACACCACCAUAAGAAAACGGAAAAAACACUUCACUCUAGUAUAUACGAGCGAUAUGUGUUUGAAGGAAGCAAACCUGGGUGGUGUCUUGGACUCCACAGUUGGUGAUUCUGAAGGAGUGAACAGCCCAGUCCAAGUAGAAAGCAUGCUCGGAUUUCCUGAGUGGUAAUCCUUCUCUGAGUGCAGCCUCAUCGAUCUGAAUGACAUUAAUACCACCUUUCUCAAGAUCCUCGACUUCGUCCUUGAUGGCCAGAGCGAUCUGGUAACAGGUCUCGUGCCUACAAAGUUUUUCAGAUAUAUACGUUUUAGUCAUUUUGUUGUAAGCUGUGUUUGUUUCAGACUUGAGAGUUUUUAUUUUGUGUACCUGGGCUGGUCAUUUCUGACAAAGGACCAGUUAAGAAUGGUGACAGGGCCGGUAAGCAUUCCCUUCAUUGGGCGAGAGGUCAUGCUCUGAGCCAUUGCGGACCAGAAGACGGUCAUUGCCUUGGGACGGCUCACAUCACCGUAGAUAACUGGUGGCUUCACACAACGAGAUCCAUAAGAUUGGACCCAUCCAUUUGCGGUGAAGGCAAAACCAGACAACUGCUCCCCGAAGUACUCAACCAUGUCGUUUCUCUACAAAAUUGUUGAAACGUGUCUCGUCAGAAACAUUAAAACGGACUACCAUCAAUAACUUUGAAUUGUCAGUACUCUACUUCGAGGGUUCAAGCAAUAACAUAUAACAUUAAAAAGAAAACACUCACCUCUGGCUCUCCGUGAACGAGAACAUCAAUGUCAAGUUCCUCUUGGAGGUCAACAACUUUCUUGAUCUCUUCCUUCAUGGCCUUAACAUAGUCCUCCUCGGAAACCCUAUCAAAGAGAUUCACCGUUAGUAUCAUACCGUUUAAGGAGAUACCAGGAAUAAAAUUUAGGAGACUAACUUCUUAGCCUUGUAUUCUCUGCGAACUCUCCUGAGCUCUACAGUCUGGGGGAAGGACCCAAUGGUGGUGGUUGGCAGGAUUGGGAGGUUAAGCUUCUUCUGCUGAGCAUCUAACCUAGCGCUAACAUUAGUUGCACGACGGUGGUCUGAGCCCUUCAAAGCAGCAGCCUGAGAUAACAAAUCAGAAACCAUCUCGAUCAAUAAAUGCUAAGGAGAAAUCAGUGACUGUGGAGAUGGCUGAGGUUUGCGCCAAACUUACAGCCUUCUGGACACCCUCGUUGGUGACUCUUGGGGAAGACCUCCUUGAAGCCAAAGCAGCAGCGUUGGCGGAGAAAAGGGCCUGAAAGGGAAUACAAUAUUAGCAUUCUAGUGUUUACUAAAUCAUUUACAUUGCAAAACUAUUCAAGGAUUUAAUAAAGUAGGUGGAUAAAAUUUCUACCUCAUCCUUCUGACCAGCCAAAGCCUUGGCCAGUGCGUUCACUUCAACGAUCUUCUGGGCAGCAAACGCCAACCAUGACUUGAUUUCGUCGUCAAGCUUGGUCUCGUUUACAAGAUCGACGGCGGUGUGGAGAAGAGAGCAGGAGGUUGAGACUACAAGCUUGUCUGAAUCAAUGCAGAAAGAUAUAACAGGUCAACGGUUGAAAUUUUUGUUUCUCAGUAAUCCCUUAGUAUAUUGUCGGUGACUCGGUAAAAGGAAGAUGAUUAUGGAAGCACUUAUAUUAUAUACCUUUUCCAACAACACCCUCAAGUGCCUCCAAGGUGCUGAGGGACGCAGCAAAGUCGUUGGCCCAGAUGUUCCUUCCAUCAACAACACCAGCGAAGAGGUACUUUCCCUCGGGGAAACCAGCCUUGACCAAAUCAAGGGUCUUGGUGCCACGAACCAAGUCAAAUCCAAAGGCAGUCACACCCUUCAACGAAGUCAGGGUCUUGUAUGCUUCAGCAGGGAUAUCAGCGAAGUAAGUCUCAACAAGAACAUUCAAACCAGAAAGAGUUGAUUCAAGUUCAGCAUAGGCUCCAGUGAAGGCCUGGAGUUUGUGGCCCUCAAGAUCCAUAACGAGAACAGGCUCGUCGAGCUGAAUCCAGGUGGCACCAGCAGCCUUAAGCUCGGUGAUCACUUCCCUGUAGACAAAUCAAAGUAAUAAUGUCAGUGUUGGAUUACCAAUAACAUCAAGGACAUGGAUUGAAAAGUAAAAGAAAGAAUAAAGUGGUUGCAUACUUGUAGACAGGGAGAAUUUUGGGGAGAAGAGAGAGAAGGUCAAAUGACUUCUCCACACCCUUGGCAGCCUUAGAAAGCAACAAGUAAGAGACUGGGCCAACAAGUACAGGGACGGUGUCAACACCAAGCUGCAUAAACAUCAAGCUUAUCGGAUCAGAACUUUAGAUAGAAACUACUUUUGGUGCACAAAAGACAACCAGCGUCAAACUAAUCUUUAACAACUAUUCUAUCAACCGGUUGUAUUUUGUGAGUAAGCAAGCGAGUAUAUUCUUAACGUAUCAACAUCUUCUGUGAAAACCAUUCAAUAUAUCUAAAUUCAAACACUGAAUCCACGAACCCAAGUCUAUGAUCUCCAAUAAAUAGUUAUUUAUUAGUAAAUGGAUGAUAAUAAUAAAGAAAGAUACUUACAGCCUUGGCCUCCUUGUACUCAUUCACAGCCUUGUGAGAUGCGUAAGAGAACUUAACGUCAGGGCCCAACUCAGGAACAAUGUAAUGGCUGCACCAAUUAAACAUCAUUACAUUUUUCCACAACUAAGAAAAACAAACAACGUCACUGCAAGACUGCAAGAUCAGAGUUGGAGACUCACUAGUUGGUGUCAAACCACUUGGUCAUCUCCAUGGCGGGAACAGAGGCGUUACCUCUAGCCAUGGAGAAGUAAACAUCCAAACCGAUCUCACCACUGGUGUAACCGUAUCUGGGUGGAACAGCACCGAGCAUGGCGGUGGUGUCGAGAACCUGGUCGUAGUGAGCAAAGGUGUUGCUGGGGAUGUACUUGGUCCCAGCCUCAGACAUCUGCUUCCAGAUGUUAGCCCUGAGAUCAGCGGACACCUUCUGAAGAUCCUCAGCAGUGCUCUUUCCAUCCCAGAAUGAUUCCAAUGCGAACUUGAGCUCUCUCUUAGGGCCCAUACGUGGGUAUCCAACAAUGUGUGACGCCAUUUUGAUUUCUUUUUUUUUACUGCAUCAAACACAAACCAAAUCAAGAUCAGUAUCAAAUAGUAAAAUACAUUCUCUCUUUCAUAACUUUGUUAAUAUAAUAAUAAUAAAUAAGUUUCAUACUCCAAGAAAGCUGCAACUACAGUUCACGUGUUAACAAAUUAAAAUAAAAUAAAAUCGAAAAGUAGAGCUAUAGCAGCUUUUGUCGUAUUAAUGAUUGAAUGAGUCCACUUCAAAGUAGAAUCGAAAACUUUUAGAUCAAAAUCACAUGCAACAUUUGAUGAUGAUUCAAAGCGGAUCUAACACAGACCAAUGAUCAUUUUCGAACGAUGAAUAUAGAUCGCAGAUCAGAUCCAGAUCUACAGAUCGACCGACACCAAAAAAAAAAAACUCAGAUCUGCAAAUGAUGAGCUCUCUCACCGUUUAGAUCUCAGUGAUAAACACGCAAUACGAACAAACGGAUCGGGGAGGAAUGAGCUAAUAUAUUUGAAUUUAAAAAAAUCACACUCGGUAAGUAAUAAACAAUAACGUGGAGACGAAAACGAAAUGAGAAGGGGAAGGGAGCUAAAUAAGGGAGACGUGGGGAAGCCAUAAAAUCUCGGAGACGUACCUCACGGAGGAAGAAUCGGAGAAAGAGGUUUGGCUACGAUGAAGAGAGAGCGAGGAAGGAGAGUGGCUCUGUGAGUUUAUUUAUAGAUACAAUCGUUGGGCUCUGUGUGAUGUGUAGAUCUGGUGGUGGAUAUUUUAAGCAAUAAUCAUAUAUUUCAACAUUUUAUUUUAUUUAGUUUUUCUCUCAUUUUCUUUCUUUCUAAUACGGCUAUUUAUGUGUUCUGAUUUUCUGAGAUCAUUUUCUAAUUUUCUUACCAUAAUUAAGAAAAUUAAUUACUUUUAGAUUGUAAAAGUAAAACUAGACCAAAAAAGGAACAUGUAUGGACGGAACUAUGAGCAAUUUUAUUUGUUCUUCAAUGUAUUUUUAGCUAGGUAUGUAUUUUUAUUUUUUAGCCUUAAGCAUUUAAAAUGUUAACAGUUUAUACAUGGAUACUUGGAUUAUUUUUUAAGAACGAACUUUUAGAUGAUAUCUUAACGAAUUGACAGGAAUAUCGUAAUUACAAAUUUGUAAAAUACCGGUAAUGGUAUUAAAUAUUUUCAUUAGUAAAGCUAAAUCAUUUUUACAGCAGUAAAGUCCAAUCAUUUAAUUAAAACGUAUUUAUAAAAGUAUAUUAAAGCGAUUAAAUAGAGGAUUAAAACGUGAAGGGGAGUUGGUGUCUACGUAUAUGAGGGAUUAGUAGUAGUGGGUCCUACGGAGGUUGGUGGAGAUUCACAUUUCACAGUGAAGUUUCUGUUAAAUACGGCUGCGUUUAGUGUCGGCCCGAAGAGUAUCGACAUCGAGGCCUGUUCCGCAGUGUUUUGAAAACCAAGUUGGAGUGGUUAUUGAACCUGAUUAUUUUUGAUGAAUUUGAUUUUUUGCUUCAAUACUUUUUGGAAUGUUAUUAUUAGAUUCAUACAAGUUAAAUUUUCGCUAGUUAACAUGUAACUAUUUCGAUGAUGGUUCAUUUUCCUCUUUAUACAGUGGUCAGUAAAUACUAGUAGUAUUCAUCUUUUUUUUUUUGGAUCAAACUAGUAGUAUUCAUCUAUCACCCACCAAUAAAAGCUUAGGCAACUGAGAUAAACUGGAUCAAAAUAUUUUGGUGGAUGAAUAUAGUAGUAGGUAAUGAAAGGGAGAUUAUGGAUCCAUGAUGUAUAUGUUAUUGUUUUAAGAUUCAUAAACAAAGUGAUGAGUGCUCUUUUACCAAAAAAAAAAAGAAAAAAAAAAAAAAGAAGUGAUGAGUGGUCUUCAUCUUGUUGUUUGCUUUGAUAAUUCGGCCACCAAACAUUGAUUCUAUUAACGUCAUCGCUUCCCUUGAUUACAUGGUAAUUAUCCUUCUCGUCUUAUUUUACUGAAUUUUUGGGUGUAUUUUGAAUAUUAGUGAUAUUCACAAGACUCAACAGUCCAUAUCACAUACUGCUAAUAGAUUACGAAUAUAAUAUUUAUGCACAGUGAGAUAAGUAUGUUAUAUCUUAUACCAGUCGUUAAUCCUCAGUUUUAUUACGCAACUCAAAGUCUAACCUAUAGAAUAGCACAUACACUAGUUGAUUAUUAAUUAUAAAGCUCUUUUGCGUGACUUGUAAGAUUAUUCUAAGUUCAACAACUAGUUUGGAACUGUGUAGGUCUAUUUUAAGAGAUGACGUUGUUGCAAACUCAGAAAACAGUCAACAAAGUGCUGCUUUUCCUUACGGACGCCAACAAAAUGCUUAUUAAAGACUGUUUGACACAAUAUGGAUACUAAAUUAUAGGCUAACUAUAUAGUUUGUAUUAGUUUUAUUACUAGCAAUUGUCAAUCGCACGGCAUAAGUUUAACAGCAGUUACAUGUGACUUUACAAGAAGAUUUGCAUAUGCAUCCUUAAAGUUGUUUUGUCGGUGGAUUUAGAUCUACCAUCAUAAUAACAGCAAAAGUCGUACGAGCAUUUAAUGAAAAUUCUCCUUUUCUUUUUUCAUUUUCAUUUUAUUGUUCUGCAACCUAAACAAGUAAUACCAUAAUCAAGCUCAAACGAAAAAAAAAGAAGAAGAAGAUCUGUAAUAUACUUUAUGAAAUUAUUGAACUAAUUCGUAUGCGAAUUGUGAAAAUUAUACGACUUAUGAUAUAUGGUGUACGCAUCCCUUUUUUUUUGCCAUCUUGAGUUUGGUAGAUCGUUUAGUAAACGAAUCACAAGAUCCAAAAACAUCCUUAUUGCUGGCUUAUUAAACUUUGUGAUUAAACUAUGAUAAAGGAAUGCUUUUAGGCAUGUGACAUAUUACAUGAUUACAUAUGCAUUAUGAUUUGAAUUGAAAUAUGAUAAUUUAAAUAAUUUAUAAAUCUUUUGUAAUGUAUACAUGCUAAUUUAAAGAACACAAAGACUAAGAAAUUAUUCAUCUAAUCUCAAUCACAAGGCUCCAUGUUAAAAGUGAGUAAAACAUGAAAAUGAAAGCCAACCACUUUUUAGGUAGAGUCCAUUCUUAUAGAUUACACAAUGCUAACCCUAUAGCUAGAGUUGUGAACUGAAUCAACACCAAACCCGAUAAAAUCUCAACCACAUCCCUAUAACAUCCCAAAAGGAUGAAAAGAACAACGAUGUAGAGCAACUCUACCUUUUAGACAAUGUUCAAAGAAGAAUCCAAACAUCAAUAAUUUCUCAGUUUCAAUACAAAACAUUUUAGAAUGAAAACGAUAAAAUAUUUAAAGUCACAAACCAAAAACCCUGAAAAAACCUCAGAAUAGUAUCAAGAAAUACAAAUCAAUAAAUAUGGAAGCUGAAACACAAGAAAAGGAAAACACAUACACACACAAACCGGGAAAAGGAGAAAACUCAGUACAAAAAAAAUGAAUAGCGGCUUCUUCCUGCCCCUUUUAAAACAGAGCAAACCCAGAAGUGCCUAACAAUUACAGUGUAACAAACAUAUAUACUAGGAGUUGAGAUGCAUUACCCUUCGAUUUUUUUCAAUCUGAGUCACUCGAACUAGAGCUUGAGCUCGAGCUUGAAGAAUCCGACUUACCCUUCUCCUUCUCCUUCUCCUUCUCCUUUGUCUUUACUUCUGAAAUGCUUUCCUCCGAAUCUCCCGGAGUUUCUUUGGACUCAGCACUCUGUACAGUCCCAUCAAGGUUACUUGAGGUUUCAGCUUUUGCUUCCUCAGUCGCUACUUCAUCGCUUAGUGUUACAUUUCUAGACUCUAUGCCUUCUGUAGGAAUCACCACUCUUUCAGAGAUUACUUCCGUUGACAUCUCCACUUUUGGCUCAGAAGGUUUUGGAAUUUCCUCCAGUGAUCGACUUUCCUUAGACGAUGCAUCGGAUGAUGUCGUUAUCUCUUUCGGUUUAGUUUCCUCAUCUUCUUCUUUCUCAGGUGUGUUUUUCACAGUAACAUUUGUCUCAUCAAGAGAUCUUUCAUCAACUAAAGACCCUGAUGGUUCCAUUUCUACUCUGCACUUGGUUUCUCCAAACCCACCAUCUGAUUCUGGUGACAUUGGUUGCUUGCCCAUGCUCUCUACAACAGCCUGAUUCAUAGCAGUAUCUAGAUCAUCUUUCGACGUAGCUUCCACCACUGUUAAAUCUGACUUGGUCUCUGAUGAGUUUUCAGAAUUUUCUUGAGCCAACUGGUCCUGAACGGUCCUUGGAAGAAUAACAUCCUCAACCUCAGAUCCUUCAUGGAUCUGCUGGAAAGCAGAUUCUAUGUCUUCAACCGCUCUCGCUUCAAGAACAGGCAGAGGUUCCGUCUGUUCAGUGGCAGUCUCUGACCCUACUGAAGAUGGCCCAGGCUCAGAAACUUCCUUUACACCAAAGUCUCCAACCGUGUCAAGUUCAGACAAUAAUCCUUCAUCAAUCUCUUUUAUCUCGUCUGCCUCUUCAGUGAAAACUUCUGGAGAACUUUGAGAUUCUUCAUGUAAAUCAGUAAGCUGAUCUAGUCGCUCUGCUUCUUCAGUGAUAACUUCAGGAGGACUUUGAGAUACAGCAUGUGAAUCUGUAAAUUGAUUUGAUUGCUCUGCUUCUUCAGUGAUAACUUCAGGAGGACUCUGAGAUAUUGCAUGUAAAUCUGUAAACUGAUCAAAUCGCUCUGCUUCUUCAGUGAUAACUUCAGGAGGACUUUGAGAUAUUUCAUGUAAAUCCGUAAGCUCAUCUGAUCGCUCUACCACAUGGUCAAGCCCCUCAUUAACAGUCUCUUGGAAGAAUUCCGCCUUUGAGCUUUCACCAACCAUAGGUGUUUCGUACUCAGGAGACUCUGCUGGAGAUGAGGAUGUGUCAGAUGUCAAACAAGAUAACUCGGCUGUAUCCACACUCACAUGAGCUGCACGUGCUGGUACCUGCAAACGCAGCAUAUCAGUUAUACUCUUGCUUAACAAAUUGCAGAAAGAAGAAAAAAAUUUAAAUAUUUUGGAGGAAUUAGCCUGAUGUUAUAUCCAUCAAGUAAUUAAUCACUCGUAUAUUCACUCUAUUACUUCGUAGGUUAUGAUGUUUAGUAUAUCAAAUAAUCUUAAGCUAAGAGGACAGAAGUAGGAGAUCAUAUACUAAACAUAUCAGAUAAUGUUGAAUGAUGACCAUCUACGAGAAAAGAUAAGUUUCAUGACUUACUUGAUCUUCACCAGAUUCAAGAGAUGAUUGUUCAACCACUGAUUUAUCUGACCAGGUCGGUUCUCUAUCUGAUUCAGCUGGAAUCGCUUCUUCGGAACCCACAUUUUGGGCACCAGUAUUCGCAGAGUCUACUUCAAUAUCCAUAGUUUGGUUGGGGUGUGUUUCUUCCUUGGCAUCAGAAACUGAUGACUGAACUGGGUAUUGUUCCGCCUUCGGAGCAUAUUCGUCAUUAAAUGAAUGCGUCUCAGUAUACUCAACUACUCCAGAAGCCAAAGUGGAGUAACUGUCUAUUGGGAUGUCUGCAUUGGAUGUUUUAGGAGUGGCUUCAUCUUUUUCUUUAUCCUCUUCCUCCUGCACUGUGCCUUCAGCUACUGAUCUGUUUACUGAACUUUCAGCUAUGUCAUGUACCACAUCAGGUGAUUCUUCCAGUGUUGUCACAUGCUCCGUCGUGUCACCAUAUCCCAAAGGUGAACUUGUAGGCUCAACUGGGAGAUGUUGUUCAACUAUCCCUGUAGAUACUACUUCCUCUUCUGUAGAAGAAACCAAGUCCACCAAAGAUUCACUAACAUCUAGCGCUCUGGAAUCUACAGCCUCUCUCACUUCUUCACGAAGCUCUUCCACGUCUUCUUGACUAGAAACAGGUAAAGAGUCAUCCUCCUGCUGAUCAGCAUCCUCGUUCUUAUCCAAAGGUAGAGAGGACGGAUCAAGUAAGGCUUCCUCAAAUUCAGACACUGAAACAGUUGAAUUAUUUUGACCAUCAAUUCCAACAUCCGAAAUGAGAAGGCUUGUCUCCCCUGUAACAUGAGUGCUACUCUCUCCUACUUCCCUUGUACUUGUUUCAGUCUCACCAGGACCUAUGCUUUCAGAACAUACUUCACGUUCGUUAUCUGUAUUUUCUUGUACUUCUUCGCCACUCUUUCCAGGUAGAUCUGCUUUGUAAUCAGAUGAUACUGAAGAAAAUGAGGGGAAUCUACUGGCUGAGGGAGGAGUCGAAUCGUAAACAGGUGUUUCGUGGUGGUCGCCCACCAACCCACAAAGAUCAUGAAUUGCUGACUCCUCCCGAGAGAGAAGUGCAGUAAUGAAAGCAGGCUCCUCAUCAUGGUGAUAAACAUCCUCCAUCCCUCUUGCAACAUGAAUAUCUGAUCCUCCAAAAGAAGUACCUGAUUUCUCAUGAAAAUCAACUUCCCGCUCAGAAACCAACAUUGCUUCAUCCUCACUAAUAUGCGCUAUCUCUUCUUCUAUCUCUGAUAAAGACGCAUCACCAUCACUGGAAUCCUCUUCAUCCUGUUUUGUGUUAUCGGGAGUUUCUCCGUCCAUCAUGUUUGAUUGCUCAUGGUGUGUUGCACUUCCCAGUAUUAUCUCAGCCACAUCACGAUGAGGAUUUUUGCUAUCAGCUUGUUCAUCACCAUCGGAAUCUUCUGACGAGUGGCCUUUUUCUUCAUCAUGGUCAGAAGCCAUAUCAGUUUUAGCUAUCUCGGUUUCUCGAUCAGCAUCAUCUUCAUCCACCUUCUUUUCGUCAUCCUCCAGGAUUGUGCAGACAGAUUCAGUAUCAGGUACAGAACUGAGUUUUGAUUCACUAACUUCACUGAGCUGCCUUUCAAACGGAUAAUAGCUCGCUCUCUCGUGUGCUAAUCUUUCCAGCACGAAGAAAGGUCGUAGCCUAUCAUGUCUGGGACCUCCGAGCAUCGAUGGACCUACACUGAAACUCUCAUGUCUUCUGAACACUGGCUCCUUAGGUUGUGGAGAAGAGAACUCUUCCUCGAAACCAUCACCCUUGAGGUCUGGCUUCUCUUCGUUUGGCUCGUACGGAAGAUCAAACGGGUUUCUCCUCGCGAACAUAAUGGACGGAGCAGAGCCAGGGAUAGGUGGUAGUCCCAUACCAUCAUAUGAAAGAUCAAAUGGAUUAUGCCUUGCGGUUGAGAUUGGCGGCAUAUUAAAUGGAACAUCAGCACAGUCGAAAUCAAUGAGAUUUCUCUCUGCCACCAUUCUCAUAUUGUUACGAGCCCUUCUCCUGGCGAUAAGACUCUCCAACCGUUGGUUUCUUUCGAGCUCGAGACUUCCUAGAUCCAUGACGUUCUUUUGGUCAGCCUCUGUCCAUUUGAUAGGUGAUUUAAUUUCAUCUUCCUUCUUCUCCUCUUCCUCUUCCUCUUCUUCCUUCUUGUUGUCGUCCUCUUCACCAUGACUUUCGCUGUUAACAUCAGACUCCGUUCCUUCAUCGCUAUCACUACUACUCAUAUCUGGCUCCUCUGAAGUUGCAUUUGAUCCAUCAAGAUCUGCAAUACCAAGACCUGGAUUCUCUGAGUGUAAAAGCGGGUGAAGCUCAUCAAGCAUGGGGAUGAUGUCUGUCAUAGAAGGGUCAGGUGAAGAACUUUCCGCACCAUCAGAACUAGAAUCCAGUGAGUCAUCAUCGCCCUCCUCAUGCCUCAUUGGUCUCCAAGGUGAAACUGGAGAUACAUCCACCUGAUCUUCCUUUGAAUCCUCCAUCAUAUCAUCUAAAGAUCCACCAUGUGAAACUCGCUUCCCGUCAUCAUUUCCAAUCAACUUCUCCUCUUCUCCAUCUCCCUUCUUCUCCAAAUCCAAAUCAAAUGCUCUCUCCUCAAACCUUACCUGGGUAUCUCGUUCCACUAAUCUAUCAUCAUCAUCUUUCUCCGUGCUCACGCACCUCUCAACCGUAAAACUCUCACCCUCUCUCUCAACAACACUAGGAUCCCUCGUAACCUCAGCUGUGAAAAGAGCAGCCUCGUUAACAGUAGCCUCCGGUUCUGUUUCGAUCUCAGGUAUAAUAUUUGGCUCUCCGAAACUAAGAAUCGUUCCAAGCAAAACGAAUGUGCAAACCAAAACAGGAGAUGCAGCUACCAAAGGAGAAAACAAAAGAGGACAAGCUCUAUACAGAAGAUACACAACCCCAACAAAGCCGAGGAGAUAGGGAUGACUGCAGAUCCAUCUAUAGGAAGUUCUGAUCAUGAUGACGAAUAACCUCCGUAUAUGAACUCUGAACUCAGACCGAUCACUGAUCAUACUGUUUCCUUCUUCUUGUCCAGGUUGUUUUCUGUAUAAAGAAGUAAGAGCAACAAUCACGAAUCAGAUGGUGCAAGAUAACAUUACUAGAAUAAAUCUGAAACGAAGUUGACAUUUAUUAGAUAUGCAACUUUCAACCAUAAAUAAUAAUAAUCGGAUCUAACGCACACGAGUAGAGAGAGAAAGGUAAAUCAUUUCAAUCAGAUGGAGAAUUAGAUCGAGUAUUCUGAUGAACUCACUCACCAGUCUCACCAGGUACGAGCAAACAGAUCGUGGAGAAAACAGUUUGACUAAACUAUACAGUGAAGAUGAAGAAGAAGAAAGAAUAGGACGAGUGGGCUAAUAUGAUUGUUUGUUGUUUCGCUUUCUUUACAGCAAAACAAAUGUAAUUCUUCGUUGGCCUCUAUUUGUAUCUCCUGAUAUUACGGUGGUGGCGGUGGCUACUACUUUCGGCACAAUUAUUAUUAUUGUUUUUUUUUCCGAGCAGGUUUCUUCUUCUUUUUACUUGACCAAAAAGACGAUUUAUUUCAAAAUUAGUAAAUAUUUCUUUACGUAGAUAUGUAUAAACAACAUUAACCUUUUUUUGGAAACAUAAAACAGCAUUAACCUAAACUACAAACAUCCAUCUAUAGUACUAUUAUUAAUAUAACUCAAAGUGCUGCAGAAAUUACUUAAUAUUGCUAUGUUUACUUAAUAACUCAAAAUGCCACAAUGUUUAAUAUGGAAAUAUUUUGAUCUACACGUCCGUGAAAGUAUUUUUUAUAGAUAAAGUUAGGAUCAGUUAUUCUUCUAAUAUGUUUUCAUAUUAUGUUGGUUACACAUAUUGUUAUUUUAUGAUAGAUUUAUUUUGCUGAAUAUAAAAUCUACUUAUUAAAAAACUCGGAAGAUUAAAAACAAUAACAUACUCCCUCCGUUUUAUAAUUUUGGCUAAAAGCACAAAAAAUUAAGAAAAUUAUUAUGUUUUAAAAAGUAUUGUAUAAUAAAUAGGUUAGAUAUAAAUUAAUCCAUCAAAAAUAAGUCUAUUAAUAUGAUUGGUCAUACUAUAUUUAAUAAAUGUAAAAAUUACUUAGAAAUAUGAAAACUGGUUUGUUACAGAUUUUCAUUCCAUUUUUAACUAAUUUUAACCACUUCUUUUAUUAUCUUUCUAAUUAAUUCGACAACAUUUAUUACAAAUUAUAAAACACAACUUACCUAUUUAAAAUUUUUUAUUACAUCUUCCUUUUUUUCAUUUUUCCUAACUACUUCGUUAGUUAUAUUUAUAAUAAUAAUUAAAAAUCACUUAUUUUACAUGUUAACCAUAAUAAUUUCAUAGAUUUGAAUGAAAUUGUUUCAUUCGUAACAAAAAUUCAAACUGAUUAACAAAUUAUUUUUUUAUUUGUUUACAAAAUCAGUUAGACAUAGUCAUCCAAAUACCCAUUCGAAUAUGAAUCAUGUUUUGAAACCACGUUUUUCGAGUUUUAAAAUUAAACUUCAUUCGCAUAUUACAAAUUUUUGGACAGGGUUCAAGUUGGAUUUUUCCAGAUCCGGAUAUGUUCGUAAAAACUUAAAAAUUAAACUCUGUGCAGACGCACAGAUCAAGUUAUAGUUUACAUUAUAAACAUAGAAUAUUUAGCAGUAGAAUUGGUUCCAACCAUGCUUUGUCCCCACUAUACAACGGUUAAUUUCCCCUCUUGCCCACUUAUACUUCCCUUUUUAUUUAUUUUUAUCAUUCCCCUCCCCCCCCUACAGUUGAAUUAUUUUGACCAUCAAUUCCAACAUCCGAAAUGAGAAGGCUUGUCUCCCCUGUAACAUGAGUGCUACUCUCUCCUACUUCCCUUGUACUUGUUUCAGUCUCACCAGGACCUAUGCUUUCAGAACAUACUUCACGUUCGUUAUCUGUAUUUUCUUGUACUUCUUCGCCACUAUUUCCAGGUAGAUCUGCUUUGUAAUCAGAUGAUACUGAAGAAAAUGAGGGGAAUCUACUGGCUGAGGGAGGAGUCGAAUCGUAAACAGGUGUUUCGUGGUGGUCGCCCACCAACCCACAAAGAUCAUGAAUUGCUGACUCCUCCCGAGAGAGAAGUGCAGUAAUGAAAGCAGGCUCCUCAUCAUGGUGAUAAACAUCCUCCAUCCCUCUUGCAACAUGAAUAUCUGAUCCUCCAAAAGAAGUACCUGAUUUCUCAUGAAAAUCAACUUCCCGCUCAGAAACCAACAUUGCUUCAUCCUCACUAAUAUGCGCUAUCUCUUCUUCUAUCUCUGAUAAAGACGCAUCACCAUCACUGGAAUCCUCUUCAUCCUGUUUUGUGUUAUCGGGAGUUUCUCCGUCCAUCAUGUUUGAUUGCUCAUGGUGUGUUGCACUUCCCAGUAUUAUCUCAGCCACAUCACGAUGAGGAUUUUUGCUAUCAGCUUGUUCAUCACCAUCGGAAUCUUCUGACGAGUGGCCUUUUUCUUCAUCAUGGUCAGAAGCCAUAUCAGUUUUAGCUAUCUCGGUUUCUCGAUCAGCAUCAUCUUCAUCCACCUUCUUUUCGUCAUCCUCCAGGAUUGUGCAGACAGAUUCAGUAUCAGGUACAGAACUGAGUUUUGAUUCACUAACUUCACUGAGCUGCCUUUCAAACGGAUAAUAGCUCGCUCUCUCGUGUGCUAAUCUUUCCAGCACGAAGAAAGGUCGUAGCCUAUCAUGUCUGGGACCUCCGAGCAUCGAUGGACCUACACUGAAACUCUCAUGUCUUCUGAACACUGGCUCCUUAGGUUGUGGAGAAGAGAACUCUUCCUCGAAACCAUCACCCUUGAGGUCUGGCUUCUCUUCGUUUGGCUCGUACGGAAGAUCAAACGGGUUUCUCCUCGCGAACAUAAUGGACGGAGCAGAGCCAGGGAUAGGUGGUAGUCCCAUACCAUCAUAUGAAAGAUCAAAUGGAUUAUGCCUUGCGGUUGAGAUUGGCGGCAUAUUAAAUGGAACAUCAGCACAGUCGAAAUCAAUGAGAUUUCUCUCUGCCACCAUUCUCAUAUUGUUACGAGCCCUUCUCCUGGCGAUAAGACUCUCCAACCGUUGGUUUCUUUCGAGCUCGAGACUUCCUAGAUCCAUGACGUUCUUUUGGUCAGCCUCUGUCCAUUUGAUAGGUGAUUUAAUUUCAUCUUCCUUCUUCUCCUCUUCCUCUUCCUCUUCUUCCUUCUUGUUGUCGUCCUCUUCACCAUGACUUUCGCUGUUAACAUCAGACUCCGUUCCUUCAUCGCUAUCACUACUACUCAUAUCUGGCUCCUCUGAAGUUGCAUUUGAUCCAUCAAGAUCUGCAAUACCAAGACCUGGAUUCUCUGAGUGUAAAAGCGGGUGAAGCUCAUCAAGCAUGGGGAUGAUGUCUGUCAUAGAAGGGUCAGGUGAAGAACUUUCCGCACCAUCAGAACUAGAAUCCAGUGAGUCAUCAUCGCCCUCCUCAUGCCUCAUUGGUCUCCAAGGUGAAACUGGAGAUACAUCCACCUGAUCUUCCUUUGAAUCCUCCAUCAUAUCAUCUAAAGAUCCACCAUGUGAAACUCGCUUCCCGUCAUCAUUUCCAAUCAACUUCUCCUCUUCUCCAUCUCCCUUCUUCUCCAAAUCCAAAUCAAAUGCUCUCUCCUCAAACCUUACCUGGGUAUCUCGUUCCACUAAUCUAUCAUCAUCAUCUUUCUCCGUGCUCACGCACCUCUCAACCGUAAAACUCUCACCCUCUCUCUCAACAACACUAGGAUCCCUCGUAACCUCAGCUGUGAAAAGAGCAGCCUCGUUAACAGUAGCCUCCGGUUCUGUUUCGAUCUCAGGUAUAAUAUUUGGCUCUCCGAAACUAAGAAUCGUUCCAAGCAAAACGAAUGUGCAAACCAAAACAGGAGAUGCAGCUACCAAAGGAGAAAACAAAAGAGGACAAGCUCUAUACAGAAGAUACACAACCCCAACAAAGCCGAGGAGAUAGGGAUGACUGCAGAUCCAUCUAUAGGAAGUUCUGAUCAUGAUGACGAAUAACCUCCGUAUAUGAACUCUGAACUCAGACCGAUCACUGAUCAUACUGUUUCCUUCUUCUUGUCCAGGUUGUUUUCUGUAUAAAGAAGUAAGAGCAACAAUCACGAAUCAGAUGGUGCAAGAUAACAUUACUAGAAUAAAUCUGAAACGAAGUUGACAUUUAUUAGAUAUGCAACUUUCAACCAUAAAUAAUAAUAAUCGGAUCUAACGCACACGAGUAGAGAGAGAAAGGUAAAUCAUUUCAAUCAGAUGGAGAAUUAGAUCGAGUAUUCUGAUGAACUCACUCACCAGUCUCACCAGGUACGAGCAAACAGAUCGUGGAGAAAACAGUUUGACUAAACUAUACAGUGAAGAUGAAGAAGAAGAAAGAAUAGGACGAGUGGGCUAAUAUGAUUGUUUGUUGUUUCGCUUUCUUUACAGCAAAACAAAUGUAAUUCUUCGUUGGCCUCUAUUUGUAUCUCCUGAUAUUACGGUGGUGGCGGUGGCUACUACUUUCGGCACAAUUAUUAUUAUUGUUUUUUUUUCCGAGCAGGUUUCUUCUUCUUUUUACUUGACCAAAAAGACGAUUUAUUUCAAAAUUAGUAAAUAUUUCUUUACGUAGAUAUGUAUAAACAACAUUAACCUUUUUUUGGAAACAUAAAACAGCAUUAACCUAAACUACAAACAUCCAUCUAUAGUACUAUUAUUAAUAUAACUCAAAGUGCUGCAGAAAUUACUUAAUAUUGCUAUGUUUACUUAAUAACUCAAAAUGCCACAAUGUUUAAUAUGGAAAUAUUUUGAUCUACACGUCCGUGAAAGUAUUUUUUAUAGAUAAAGUUAGGAUCAGUUAUUCUUCUAAUAUGUUUUCAUAUUAUGUUGGUUACACAUAUUGUUAUUUUAUGAUAGAUUUAUUUUGCUGAAUAUAAAAUCUACUUAUUAAAAAACUCGGAAGAUUAAAAACAAUAACAUACUCCCUCCGUUUUAUAAUUUUGGCUAAAAGCACAAAAAAUUAAGAAAAUUAUUAUGUUUUAAAAAGUAUUGUAUAAUAAAUAGGUUAGAUAUAAAUUAAUCCAUCAAAAAUAAGUCUAUUAAUAUGAUUGGUCAUACUAUAUUUAAUAAAUGUAAAAAUUACUUAGAAAUAUGAAAACUGGUUUGUUACAGAUUUUCAUUCCAUUUUUAACUAAUUUUAACCACUUCUUUUAUUAUCUUUCUAAUUAAUUCGACAACAUUUAUUACAAAUUAUAAAACACAACUUACCUAUUUAAAAUUUUUUAUUACAUCUUCCUUUUUUUCAUUUUUCCUAACUACUUCGUUAGUUAUAUUUAUAAUAAUAAUUAAAAAUCACUUAUUUUACAUGUUAACCAUAAUAAUUUCAUAGAUUUGAAUGAAAUUGUUUCAUUCGUAACAAAAAUUCAAACUGAUUAACAAAUUAUUUUUUUAUUUGUUUACAAAAUCAGUUAGACAUAGUCAUCCAAAUACCCAUUCGAAUAUGAAUCAUGUUUUGAAACCACGUUUUUCGAGUUUUAAAAUUAAACUUCAUUCGCAUAUUACAAAUUUUUGGACAGGGUUCAAGUUGGAUUUUUCCAGAUCCGGAUAUGUUCGUAAAAACUUAAAAAUUAAACUCUGUGCAGACGCACAGAUCAAGUUAUAGUUUACAUUAUAAACAUAGAAUAUUUAGCAGUAGAAUUGGUUCCAACCAUGCUUUGUCCCCACUAUACAACGGUUAAUUUCCCCUCUUGCCCACUUAUACUUCCCUUUUUAUUUAUUUUUAUCAUUCCCCUCCCCCCCCUNNNNNNNNNNNNNNNNNNNNNNNNNNNNNNNNNNNNNNNNNNNNNNNNNNNNNNNNNNNNNNNNNNNNNNNNNNNNNNNNNNNNNNNNNNNNNNNNNNNNNNNNNNNNNNNNNNNNNNNNNNNNNNNNNNNNNNNNNNNNNNNNNNNNNNNNNNNNNNNNNNNNNNNNNNNNNNNNNNNNNNNNNNNNNNNNNNNNNNNNNNNNNNNNNNNNNNNNNNNNNNNNNNNNNNNNNNNNNNNNNNNNNNNNNNNNCCCUUUACUUUUUUAAUUUAGUUUUAUGUUCACCUGUCACAUUUCCUUUCCUCUCACGUACUUUCUUAAUUUUUUUCUUCAUUUACCCUUUUCAUCCAAAAACAAUUUUGUAUUUAACAUUAUGUUUUCUUUCUUACAAAGAGAGAAUUGGAUUCAUCUUCUUUUAACUCUUGAAUUAUAUAUUACAUUUUUUAUACCAUUAAAUAGUUCAUUUUAAUACAUAGCAUUCAUUAAAAAAAUUAUUAAAUAAUUUAUUUAUUUAUUUAUAUGUUUUUACAUAAAAUAUUUUCUAAAUUCGCCACUUUAUGUAACCAACAUCAUACUAGAACAUUUUGAAAUGAUAAACUGAUCUUAAAUUUAGUUAUACAUGAUACAAAACUGUAUCGAUAUUAUUGAAAAGUUCCAUAACACUGAAAUAAUAUUAAAAAAUUAUGUACAAUUUUAUUGGUUAAAAUCAAAUCUAGAGAAUCCCCUCUAUAAUUAGUUGUUGCUUGAGUGAAGCAACUUAUCAUGUAUACACCAUAUAAUUUUAAAAGGUUUUACAUCUUUCAAGAAAAUGUAUUUAAACAUUUUUGGAGUUUAGAUUGUAAGAUUAGAUCGAACUGUGAUAUAUAUAUAUAUAUAUAUAUAUAUAUGAUUGUAGCAAAAAAAAAUAAAGAUUAAUGGCAUUAAAAAAGGUGGAAGAGACAAGGUAAUAUGAAUAUCAUUCUCUUUCAACAUCACACUAUAUUCUGUUUUAUUUGAUGUCAUAAGAAAUUAUGUUAUAUUUACGUUCAAUAUAUUAUUUUCUCAUUACAAAAUCAUAUAUAGACUAAUAUAAAACACAUGUAUACAUCGAUACAAAACUCAUAUCAAUAGAACAUGAAACAACAAAAAACAAGAUUGAACCAUUUCUUUCAAGCAUCGAAUAAAAUAUAACUUACUAAAUAAUACAUUAUAUAUUAAUAAACAUAACAAAUAAGAGAAGAGUUGUUCCAUUUCAUAAAAUAGUAUAGAAAUGCUAUUACCUUCCAGCUCAUCCUUGACAAACCUGAAAAACACAAUGAAAAAUAAGCACACAUUAGUGUACAAGUUGGACGGAAAUGACAGCAUAUGAGAUAGGCUACUAGUAUAUGAGUUACUCUAUGCUUAUGUUAAAUGUUUAGUUUUGUCAAUCGAAAAUAACCUAUGCGAGUAAAGAAGUAACAUAUGCAAUUAGAAUUAUACCAUUUGAAAUAAUACAUAAUAUAUAUAUGGAAAGGAACUGAAGGUCAGAUGGAAUGGAAAAUGAAUAAUAUAUUAGUUUUGAUACGAUUUUUCAAAAAUAGCAGAGAAUGGAAUGACACGUAACCAGUCUCUAAAACUAAGAUUUUCCAUUUCUAAUAGCACAUGUUCCAUAAGAUAUUCCAUUUCACAGAGAAAUAAACUUGUUUUAUCGUAAAAGGGCUUUUCAUUCUAAAAUAACUAUCCCAUUCGCAGUAAACAAUGAGUAUGACGAACUAAGAAAAGUUCAACCCUAAAUCAAUUUGUUUGCCUCAGCUUACUAGAUUGGACAUGCAACAUAAACAAUGGGUUCGAAACUUAGAAUAGACUAGGGCCGAAUCUAUUCCAAAUAAGGGGAAAAGUAUAGAAAUAAUAUAAUAUAUGGCACAAAACAGAGAACUUACAAUAUUGCAACAUAUCUCAACAUAAUCGCCAAUACGAAGGAGAUGAGGCUAUGGUGGUCGUUCAUGACAAUCACAUUUACGAACUCUUCUGAAUCUCCUUCGAAUUCCGAAUUCCGAAUCGGUGCGCUUGACGAACCUAUGACGAGUGACGAGUUUGAAUGGAAGACAAUGACUCCGCGGUGGAUGGAAAAACAAUAUACGGUGGAAUCUGCUGCUUGAUUUCACGCCGGUAACUUUUCACCUUCUCGAAAAGUGACGAAGAAGAAGAAGUUACUUUUGGGAGAUGUGUGACUUCCUGAUGACCACGCGUAAUUUUUGCUUGGUUGGGUAAUUGAUAAUUUUUUUUUUAAACUGCAAGUUACGCCGGUUGCGUUGAAGACUAACAAAGUAAUAUUAUAUAAAAUACACUUCAUAUCGAUGUAUGAUAGGAUAAUUGGCUAUACAGCUAAAUAUAGAGAUGUCAAUUGGGCUUUCCCGUCCCGUCCUGUCCUGGACCGCUGCAGGUUUGUCAUCGGGCGGGACAUGGUGGGUCUGUUCCGCGCAGAAUGCGGUCCUGAAAGUAGCUACCCAAUCAUGUACCGCAUUUUUUAUAGGCCUUCGCGGACCGUCCCGCGGGAUAUUGGAUAUUACACUAUCUACUUCUUCCUACACAAACAAACAUAAACAAGAAUGAGUUUCUGCAGGAACAAACACCAAACACGAACGACUUGAUCAUAGCAAAGUCUAUUUCUUUCACUUAAGACUAUUUUUUUCUUUGUGUUACAUAAUCGUUAGCUUGCUAUUAUGAGUCAAGAGAUUCCAUGGCAAAAAAUUUAACGGUAAAUACAAAAAGAAAAUCGAAAAAGAUAGGGCCAUUUCGCAAUACCUUGACCCAAGUUAAUUUUUUGUAUCUUUCUAAUCAUAUAAGAAUACCAUGAAGACACAACACAAGUAUUUGGCAAUUUAAUUAUCAAGCACAAUGCGUGUACGUAUACGUGUCUAGCACAAUUUAAUUAUCAAGCACAAUACCAUGAAGAAACAAUACGUGUACGUGUAGCUAUGGAGAUUAGUCUUUCAGCUGAUAUGCAUCAUUGUUAUAUGCAUAUAUAGAUUAGUUGACAAGGCUGUAACUACAUAUAGCUUAGUCUUGUUGCGGACACUCCCGGUUAAAGCUUCCAAGAAUUUAACUCUCUUUCUACAAAUAGAUAUACUAGCGCUGAGAUUAGCGUUGCACACAUGUUGUAGAAGAGGACUACGCUUAUUUCUUCAGGGUAUAUCUCCAUGAUCUGAGUCUGAAAUCAUGUACAGCUGCUUACUUUAGCUCGACUUUAAGCAUUACCAUCAAACUUAAAGCUUUAAGUUUAUCUAAUACCUGAAGAAUAUACCAGACUGAAAGUAGCAAAAACUGUAAAACUAGCAAAAGGCCUCCAAUGAUCCAACUUGGCUCACAUGAAGUAAAAGAUGCAGCAACAAGAAGCUUUGGGCCUUUAUAAAGAACAAUAACAAGAGCACCAGAUAUAGAUACUAUCGUGCCAUUGAUUUUAGCCUGAGUUGCAGAGCUUCUUAACAUCACUUGUUCCAUCCUUUAGGGUCACCCGAGAAGAAAAACCACUUAGAUGAUAUAGCAACACACAAUACCUCGUGUUUCAAAACAAGGAAAUAGUAGAGAAGAGAGUGGAACCUGAAGAAGACGGCAAGCAUGAAGGUGAAAGCUGGUGUGAGGUUGCUUAUAGCAGAAGAAAGAGUUGGGGAACUAUAUUCUAUUCCUUUACAACCAGCUAUCCGCGAGGUAAGCCUGUUUUACGCCAAGAUAGCAAACUAGAAAACGAAAAGCCUAAGAAUACUCAUAGAUCUUGAAACAGUUACCCAAGAAGCGUAAGUAAGAAAAUCUUGGUAAGAUAAGCGUUAUGUUUAAAUGUCACAGAUAUCUGGGUAAGGAUAGCAUGUACUUUCUUAGUGCUGUAGCCACAGAUAUCUGGGCCAAACAUGAUGAUGCAGGUACAAAGAGAAGAUAAGCGUUAUGUUUAAAUGUCUGAUCUCAUGUUGAUGGUGAAAAAAAUUGUACCUGUAAGGAGUGUCUCCUCCAAAUUUCUUCUCGUCAACAUCAUCACUGAGAAGCUUCAUGUAUCCACCACCGCAGUCAAGCUUCUGCUCGUGCUUGACAGAGAAUUGGAAGACAAGGGUCUUGUCCUUGUUGCUGAACUCGGGGAACUCAUCAAAAUUUCGAAAUCACAGAAUGCAUAGAUCUACCAACAAUCAAAACCAAACAUUUCGAAAAAGUUCUAUCGAUUCAAAGUGAGGAUGAAGAAAGCAACGGAAGCGACGAAGCGUAUGCGGGUGAUGUGGGCCGUCCCGCGGUUGAUGCGGGCCAUCCCGCUUUAAACCCGGUACCGAACAAGCCCAGUCCCGCAAGGCCCGCUAUUUUGCGGGUCAUGAAUCUCUAGGCCCAUACCCGCCCCGCACCAAACCCUUUUGGGCCAGGCCCGCGGUCCAGUACCCAGUUUGCCAUCCCUAGCUAAAUAUUGUUUUUUUCUUAGCCAUACGGCCUAAUUUCCCAUGAUUCAGUUCAGUUCUCAGCCUAAUGUUCCUAUUCAAAUGACUAACCAAAUGUAACAAAAGAAACGCUGAAAGAAGAAAGCUUACGGGUACUCAAUCUGUUGUAUCCUCAUUAACAAGGUGAGUCCAUUUAUUUCUUCCACUGCGACCAAAGUGCUUGACUUGCAUGACUUUUGGCAGAAUCGAUUUGUCCAACCUAUUCUUCUCCCGUUGGUGCAGAGAAGUCUCGCUGAAUAUUACCAUCGAUUUCCACGGAUCCUGCCUGGAAGAGGCAACCUUGUACUAGUAUUUGUACAUUAAAUUUCAGUUCUUUUUCGGUGUGGAAUGUAAUCAAAAAAAUAUCAUAUUUACUAGCUAAAGCAUAAAAUUGCAUGGAGGUUUUACAAGUGAUCAGGAUGCUAGUACAUGGAUGAAUGAUAUAUCAUCCCCUUGCUGAUAUAAUAUAUUUACAUAAUAGGAAGCAAAUCCUUUUGGUAAUUUGCAAAUUCAAAUCACCCCCACCUGUUUAAUAGAACAAACGUGCUUCUACACAUACAACAAAGCAUAUGAAAAGAACAAUUACUUGCAAAUGCCAAAGUGAUUCCAUUGUUGUUCUUAUGGGUAGUUUCACCAUUGCAACAUCCAACAAGGAGGUAAGUGUUUCUGAAGCUCUCAAACUGAAGUAUCAAUUUAAAAAAAAAAAAAAAAAAAGCUUAUUUGUAACAAAGAAGGCAUGAUUAAAUUACAAAGAAAAAUGGUUUAAUUUGAGAACAAACUAGGGAAAUAACAAACAGGAUAUCCAGAGGCUUUAGGAAAGCAAUCUAAAACAUAAGAUUUGGUAUGGAGAUCAUGUAUCACCAGUGGUGGACCACUCCUAUAACCAAGCAAUAAUAUGGUCUCGUCUACAAUAGCUAUUGGCAACAGUGCUGGUCGGGGAAAAUAAGGAGGGUCAUGAAAAGUGGUUUCGGUGAGAUCUAUCGAACACAUUUGCUUCCAUGUCAUCAUCAUGUUGCAGCCGCCGAGUGACCAUAUCACUUGGGUUUUGGUGGGAUAGAAUUUGAGGGAUACGCACAAGCGGUUAUCGAGGAUGCACAAGACGACAAAGCGAGGGUCAGGUACAUGGGAAAAGGGGGCGUUACAGAUGACUUUAAAAGUUUCCGUGUGAAGAUCAAAAGACAACAACUUGGUUUCUUUACACUCGGUUAACCAAUAAAGUGACCCGUCAAAAUACACAGGCCUCGGGCCAUCAAGAAUCCGAUAGGGAGAAGCAGGGAGGACGUCCCUCCAAGCAUUAGUGGUAAAGUCGAAAACUUCACAAGUGGUGGCAUUGUCUAGGUCAAACUCAGAAGAGUUAAAGAGCCAAACCGGCUUGUAUGUGCCCCUGACUUUGUCUUUGCCGAAUCCUAGCUGAGGUUCUCGGGUGUGGCAGAAUAGGUUGCUACGUGCUUUAAAGUGAGAGAUGAUGAGCCGUUGAACCCUCGAAAGAGAAAAGCUUCGACGCCAUCUAGUGGCGGGAUUAAAAACGGCACUCGGGUGGCGGUUGCUGAAAAGGCAUACAAGUCCGUCACAAGUACCAUAGCAAACCUUGUCGCUCCUUGUAGGGAACUUGAGGCUACGAAUUACACAAGACCCCACCACAAUAUUAGCUUCUUCUUCUUUUAUUUCGUCUUCUUCAUUACCAAACCCGGUCACGUAUACGACAUCUGGACCUCGUGAUUUCCUACGGGUGAUCAUCAGUUGUCUCUGUUUGAAACUUGGGGACUCGAUUGUUGAUUUCCACGUCUUAGAUACAGACUUGAAUCUCAGCAGAGACACCACAGGAAGUCUCUCGAGGAUGAGCUCAACGACAUCGUCUGGUAGCAAUUCGCCAUGUCUUUUCAACAUUCUCUUGUUGUCUCUCAAGACACGAUCCAUCGAAGCUUUCCUAUAUACUAUAUAGACACACGAGUCUACUUAUUAGAUUUAAGAAGAAUAAAAAAAAAAUGGAAAUCUAAUAAUCGAAUCAUAUCCACAAUAAACACUGAUUACCUCAUCGCCCAAAUGAUCUCCUCGAAUCCUUCUUCCAAUCCCUCAUGAAUCGAUUUUUAUCCCCUUUUUUUUAAUAUUCUGUACGAGAUAGACAGAGAUCUCGUUCCGACAGAACACCUCUUCGCAACCCCUUUUUCUGUAAGAGACGUCCACAAACUGAGUUAAGUUACUAAGUUUUAUCCCUUUUGUCUUUUUCUAAGCCCAAUAACUUAUAAACUAGUCAUUAGAAACUAUACUGGGCUUUCAUAGGCCUUAUUAAUAUUUGUUUUAUAUUCGGCCUUGAUUUUAACAUCUCGAAUCUUUAACUGUUGUUUUCUUACUGUUUCAGAAUGCUUUUGCUUGUUUAUUACCGAUGACACUAUAAUAGUCCAAAUUCCCCAAAAUCCACAGAACUCCAUGUGCUAAUGGUUGUUUAACGAAAUGGAUGUGAAUCUCCAAAGGGCCACUAUCACACUUACAUGGAUAGUUCUCUUAAUAACAUCACAUGUUUAUCACAACCUUCGUAAACAACUCGUUUUGAUUUCAUUCUUUUGUAUUAGAAACAUCUGCUUUCAACAUUGUGGCAAAAUAAACCAAAUCAAAACUCAAGCAUAAAUGUUACACAGGUUGCCAUGAAUCACAGCUUGCAACGAGCCUGGUACAAGAGAAAAGAGAUCAAGAUGAAUAAGAAAGAUACGUUAAUCAUACCUAAGUUCAACAGAGAUUACGAGCACUCGGCGAUGCUCACAAAGAAUCUUCUCAGAUCAAAGGAGUGGUGGGAACUGGUCGAGACAGGGAUCUCACAACCUGGAAGGAAUGUGAUCCUUACCGGAGUACAGAGAACGGAGUUGGCUGAGCAGACCGUGAAGGACCACAAGGUCAAGAACUACUUGUUUGCAUCGAUAGACAAGAUCAUCCUCAAAACCAUUCUGAAGAAGGAUGCCUGUCAAAAGCAGUGAAAAGACUGGAAAUAUCGUUAGCCAGUUUCAAUUAACCAAAGUUCCAUCCCAUUUAGCGACACAAGUCCGUUGCUCAUUUCAUUGAAUCAACUUGGUGAUUCUGCUGCUAAUUUAGCGUGACAUGUGGUGCAAAUGAAAAAGCAAUGUUCUUUUUUUUUUUUUUUUUGUCAACUUUCCUUUUCAUUAGAGAAGCCUAACUGGGCAUUACAUAAGAGGAGUACAUACAGCCCAUUUUUAAUAAAACAGACUUGACUAAAAUAUACCAAACAUCAGGCCCAUUAUUAACCCUAAAAGUCUUCGUCUCUCUUCAAUUGUCCCGUAAGAUUCCACGCGUCUCUUGAAGGAUGAGCCUAAACACCUGUCCUCGCCUGAUUUUGCAUGAAACGUGAAAGCGGUUGGGGUAGACACGCUCUCCCACGCGCCACUGCAUGGAAUAAUCUGAGACGAAACUCCACCGUGAAACAACGAGCUUUGUUGCUGGGUCUGCUUAUGAACUCCUCGAAUCUCCUAUCUUUCGUUCCAUCCGCUGCCUUUGAAGAAGCACUGUCACCACCGAAUAAUAAAUUCUGGGAAAAUUCAACUGUUCCAAUAACAAUCUUAUCGGACCAUCUUCAUAUAGAAAGAUGCCAACUCAUCUAAAUCACCAUUGGAAUCAGCCGAACUCCAUCCAACAUCACUUCCUCCUUCUUGUCCAGGAGACUUCACUUCUACGCCGAUUUACUGGCACCACUUUCUGGGUGAGUGAAGAUUGAUUCCUUUAGAGAAGGGUUGAGUGCGAAUCCGAAAUAGCAGCAGAGAUUCAACUUUGGCAAAACGGGAUCUGAAUAAAGAUCUGCGAAAGAGGAGGAUUUGAUAACAACAACCCCAUCGAAGAAUCAAGAUAAAAGCCAUGAAGAUUUGCUUCAAUCGAGGCUGAAAACACCACAAAAAGGUCGCCACUGCGAAACUUCAAGUCACCUAGUGAAAAAGAGAUCCGCAACCGGAAAUAUUUACAUCAAAAAAACAAAAGAAAAGAGAUGGUAACCGGCGGCGAAGGCCACCGGCCACCGUACGCUGUUUAUGCUUUAAAGAGACUUUCUAGAGAGAAGUUGGAGCUCGAAGAAGAGAGAGGUUUUUUUAAAUGCGAAAAAAAAAAAUUUUAUAGCAUAUUUCUACCUUGAAAUUACCAUCAAACUUGCAUUGGAAAAAUAUGAAAAUAAAAAUGUUUUAGUGAUGCAUGCAGAAACAUAAACUGUAUCUUGAUUAAUCCCAUAACUGUGUCUGGUUCGAUACAAAAGACGCUCCGACCAGAUGUCUCUUGUCCACGAUCUCACGGUAAUAACAAAGCAAAUGGUACUAAUUGCUGCGAUUUAGUUAUUCUCAGAGAUAACAGCGUAAGCUGUUUUUCUUUCACUACAACAUACCACCUUGUUUCAGUUUUUUGGCUUAAACUCGGUCAGAUCUUGAAGCGGCUUUACGUCUCCCAAUCUUUCAUCUUCUUGCUCCCCUUUGGUUUCUCAAUAGGACCAUUCAUGCCCGCCAUUUUCUUGUUGUAUUUUUCUCGUAAAGGAUCAUUAGAAGUCCACCUGCACAAUCAUUCAUCAUGCAAAAAAAAAGAAAUAAUUCAAAAUCUGAAGCUCCAUAAACCAAUCAACAGACACAACACUCUCCCUAACAUAACACUAUUCACAUUUGCUUCCAACGAUUGAGUUCAGUUCUCAGCCUAAUGUUUCUACUCAAAUUCUAAACAAGUCAGUCUUCAAAAUCAAUAGCCUAUGACUAACCAAAAUGUAACAAAAACAAAAGCUGAACGCAGAAAGCUUACGGGUUACUCCAAUCUGUUGUAUCCUCAUUAACAAGGUGAGUCCAUUUAGUUCUUCCACUGCGACCAAAGUGCUUGACUUGCAUGACUUUUGGCAGAAUCGAUUUAUCCAACCUAUCUUCUCCCGUUGGAGCAGAGAAGUCACGCUGAAAUAUACCAUCAGUCCCCACGGAUCCCGCCUCAUCAUCAGGAUCCGCCUGGAAGAAGGCUCCCUUGUGGUAGUACUUCUGCAUGAAGUUCCACUUCUUCUUCGGUUGAACCGACGAAGCUUUCGGAUUCUUCCUCUCCCACUCUCUCCUCUCCUGCUCCGUCAUGUUCCUCAGCUUCUCAAUCUCUUCCCUCUCCCUCAACAUAGCCUCCUUCGCAUCACGCUCUCUCUUGAUCCUAGCGAUCUCUCUCGUCUUCCAAACCUCGUACUCCUCAGCUUCGUUGAUUUCAUCAUCAGUCUCAACAUCUCCAAUAUUCGCUUCUUGCAAUAACAUGUUCUUGCGUAUCUCUUCGUCUUUCCUGACUUCCUCAACCACUAUCUGCUUCGUCUCUAUCUUCCUCAUCUCGAGCUUCCUCUUCGCUAACUCCUCGAGAGCUUGCUCCUCAGCUUCAAGUCUUUCACGCUCUGCGACCGUGUCUCUCUCAGCUUUGGGGACAAAGACAGGCUUGAUCAUGGUGAUAUUACCGGGCAUAUCAUCUUCAGAAUCAGUCUCGUACUCAGACUCCUCUUCCUCCUCGUCUUCCUCCUCUACCUCGUCCUCUUCCUCCACAGGUAGCAGAUCAGCCUCCUCUUGAGCUCUUUUGAGAUUCUUUUCUCUGAUUCUCCUCCUUCUUUCUUCCAAAGCAUCUUCAUCUUCUUCCUCGUCUUGGUUCCUCAACUCUUCUUCUUCGGUAGAUAUAAUCUCAGCCUGCCUAACGCGACGGUGAUCGGCUCUAACUUCUUCACGGUUGUCAGCUCUGGUCUGAGCUAAACGACGCAGCCUCGGGUCAUCCUUCCUAGCAACCCCCAAAUCAUCAUGCUUUCUAUCCGAAACAUCAGCCUUGUGCAUCCUAACGUCCUCAUCAUCCUCGGCCUCAUCGGCCCACUCGGGAGCUUUACCAGGCCAGUAUCUUUUCACUUUAGUCUGACCAAUCCCACCUCGGAGUUUAGCUCUUGUAGCUAGUGCAGCUUCACUCACUCCCGCUGUGACAGACAUCUUUGAACUCGCGAGUAGUCAAACUCAAAUUAUAUUGACUAUUUGUUCUCUACACCAUGAAAGAAAACAAAAUAUAUACAUGGAUUAGAUUCAAAACUUGACGUCUCUAGUAUUCCAGCAGAAAAAGAAAUGGCCUACUUCCAAAUCAAUAAUACCAAUGAGACCAACACAUAUUCGACUAAGUAUGUCUGUGUAAUAUCAGCAUAUCUCAAACACAUUCUGAUUCUAGCGUAAGCACAUAAACACCAUUCCACCAUAAGAUCACCAAAGAGACGAUUGUAGAUUUUCACAAGAUAAAAAAGGCAAAAGAGGAAUCAAUCUUCUAUCAAAUCUGAGUAAUUUGUCCAAUUUCAACAGGUAGACGAACCUCAAGCUUUGAUAUACGGAAUACACAAUAAUAACAAUCAAAACGACUAGAAGGCGAAUCAGAAACGGGAGAAUCCAAGCUACGAAAAACUUGAUGAUGAGAGAACAAGGAAACAAAAGUAUCCAGAAGAAAUUGACAAGAAAGUAAAUUAGCUUACGCUUUUGGAGAAACCUUUACGUUCAGAGAGUUAGCGAAUAUCAAAUUCGACAAUGCGAAGGAAGCCCUAGUAAACCGUGGCGAGACGGAGGCGGAGAGGAGACGAAGACGGUGGAGGUAUUGAAACCGGAGCCUCGGGACAGAACACAAAAGGACCAUGCGAAAACUCAUAACUACUCAUUAGAAACUCUACUGGGCUUUUUAAUGGGCCUUAUUAGAAUUGGUUUAUAUUAGGCCUUAAAUUUAACAUCUUGAUCCUAAACUGUUUUCUUACCGUCUGAAAAUGUUUUUACUUUGUUCAGUGUUUACUGAUGAAAAACUAGAGUCCAAAUGGUAAAACAAACGGAUUUCGAUAUGCUAAUUGGUUGUUGAAGGCAGCUGAGAAGACAGGCUCCCUAGAAAAUGUUGAUGUUCUUCUCUCAUGCCUUCCUCUGUCAGCUAUCUUUUCUUUUGGUGUUUUAUUUGUCUCACGUUGAUGAGCAUAAAUGCGAGACAUUUAAAACCAAAAACAGAGGAUAGCUUUAGCAGUUUGGUCCAUUCAUUUGACCGUUCAAAGUUCAAACACAAACACACAAGAAGAAGAAACAGACCAGCAGAGAACUGAAAACACGUUAACAGAAAUAGACACCAAAAAAGCUCUCAUAACUAUGCGGCGGCGCCUGAGGCCACAUCUCCGGCUGGAGAAGCGGCGGCGGUGACACCACCGUCGUCGGAAGAAAGAGCGAGCGGAGUCCAAUCCGGAGGGAGAGGAGGAAGAGGAGCAUACACUGUAGGCUUUCUCUUAAUGUCCCAAGGCUGAGUCUUCUUCGGCCUUGUCUUCCUGUGAUGGGCGGUCGACUUCUUCUGCGGCCUCGACGAACACUCUAUCACCAUUCCCAUUCCUCCUCUGUUGCCCAAUUUCGGAACUUGAAACUGGCGAAGAGCCGAAGAAGCAGCGACGGUGGCGAUUCCGGUGCCAAAGAUAGCAGACACAGACAUUGUUGUUUCGUCUUAUCUUUUCUGCUUGCAGUGGAAGUGAAGUGAGUGUGGAGCCUCUAGCUUCGGAUUAGAGACAUCAUAUCUUGUCCAAGUUUUCGUUUUAUCUUGAUGGGCUUUUUUAAUGUUUAUUGGGCCCUUUUAUACAUAAAUGUGUGUAUUUACUAUUUAGUGGAGGAUAUAAUAACCCAUGGUCACAAGUUUAGUAACGGCCAUGUUCAACUCAUUAUGGUGCACGCCUGUUGCAAGUAGCUAUUUAAUUCGUUACGCAGUGCUGCACGCCUGCUUUUCAUUUCGCAAAACGGUAUGGAAAAUCGCAGAAAAGGGACUGCGUAAAUCAAGUGUUGAAAAAUAAUAUUUUAAGUGUGUUUUCAUAAACCCUCUAGUCAUCUAGUGCAGAGAUUGACUAAAAAUGUUAAUAAAUGUUUUACCACAAAAUCUGAGGUUUGAUUCCUAAAAAAAUGUAAUUCAUGCAUAUUAAUAGUUACAACCUUAAAAAUAUGCAGCAUGAAUCUUAUUUUAACUGAUAGAAUUACCUGUUGACCAUUUGUUCUAAAAUUAUAAUAAAAUGUUUGCAAUAAAAAAAAUGAAAUCAAAAUUUUGGAUGACAGAAAAGAUUUAGAAACUGAUGUAGUUUAAAUCUCUUUCAAAAAUUUCAAUACUUUAUCCGUUCUCUUUAUAGAUAUUUUCAAUCAUUUGUCGAUCCAUCAUAAUGAGACACUAAUUUUCUGAUGAGUUCUUAAAAGGUUCUUGGCAAGUUGCAACUUAAAAUCCAUACUAAUCUUAGACAUUGGUUAUAUUGUUAUUUCUAAAAGAAAACGUACAAGAAAGCCAACUUGCUCGACAUUAACUGACAUUCUAGUACAUUCAUUUGGUUUUAGACUUUUAGUGGCUAUUAAGGUUUCCAGUGCGUUUGUUUAACCAGAUCCUCCUAUCUAAUCAUGGUUAUGUAUUAAUUCAAUAUAAUUAACAUGCCUAAAUUAGGCUUUAGAGUAACUACUAUCACCAACAUACAUAACAUAACAUAACCAACUUCAUAUAUAAUAUAUUCCACUCUCACAUCUUGUCUAUAGUUCCUAAAAAUAACUAAUCAAAUAACGGCAAAUAUUGACUGCGAUGAAAAGUACUCUUAUUUACGUAUGACUCAAAAACAUACGUAAAUUAUGGCCAACAAUGAGAUUACUUUAGUUUCAUAUACGUGACUUGCAUUAUCCGAGGCAUUCACAAAUCCACGUGCAUCAGAUUACCACCCCUUAUUUUUCUUGUCUACAAAUAGUUAUCUUAUUCUUUAUUUACAAUUAGUACUAUAUACCUACAUACAUAUCAACAGCUCAGCCAUUUGAUUUUUCGUACGAGGAGAUUCUGUCGGUUAGACCAAAUUUGGUGUCACAAAACCUAUGGUACCCAUUGGCCAUUGCAUAUUUGCAUUACGUUUUGCAAACCUUAUCCUUAUCUUACUAUCCUUGAAAUAAUAACCGGGGAUAAAGUUCAAAGAAUAAUAGGAUUAAUAAUGAUAACUGUUGAUAUAUAAUUUAUAAAAACGAACUUAACAACUAAAUUGCAUACGUUCAAAAUUGUAUUUACUAUCGUUAUGCAUGCAUAUAUUUUUGCUGUAAAUGUUAAAAUUAUGCAUGCAUAUAUGUAUUCUUUUCUAAAAACGGUAGUUAAAAUAAAUGCGCCAAAUAUAUAAAAUAUAAUAUGAUAUAUGUGUUUUACGAUAUAAUUUAAUUUAUGGUUUGCGUAUGCAUGUAUCUGUCUGUUUACGGGUAAGUGUCUUGUAUGAAGGCCUAAUUUGAGCCAUGUGAUUUCUUUGUUGAGGCAAAUUUUGGCACAUCGACAAGAGGACCAUAUGAAUCGACUGUUCUCGUAUUCCCUGCAUUAUUGCAACUAUUUUAUAAACUAUUUUCUUGGAAUAAUAAGAGUUCAUAUUUUGUACUGCAGUGUCACGCCAGCUAGAUGAAUAUACCAGGAAUCUUUCGAUCCUUUUAAAAAAACAAUUCCUAUUCAUUUUCCGACCUAAAUAAAAGAUAUACUGAUCCUUGUGUUUUUUGACUAAAGAUACUGAUCCUUGUUGGAUUAUAAUAUUACAUGAACCAUGAAAUACGUGACUUCUUUGCUAGAUUGUAUGUGCAAGUUUUUUUAAUAAAGGUUAGCCGAUUCUUAUGAUACAUAUGUCAUGUGCUAUAGAUUGUUCAGCGCCUCGUACUAGAAUUCAUAUUCAUAUGUUUUUUUUUCUUAUCAAGCUUUGUUGUUACCGAUUCGAAUUUUAAAUAAAAUGUUUUGAAAGUUGAUUAAUCCAAAAAAAAAAAAAAAUUGGUGUAUAAAAGGGAUCUCACCUCUUUAUCAAGAAUCUGAGUGGCAGAAUUUUUAGUACACCUCUUUAUCAAGAAUCUGAGUGGCAGAAUUUUUAGUAAACUCUCAUUUUUCCACUAGCCUAACAGCUCAUUUGUGUAUCCAAUCUUUAUCGGGUCUAAAACUAUAUUUUAUGAACUCAUGUAUUUUUUUUUUUUUUGUCAUCUUUUAGAUUAAUUGAAAGUUCCAACAUACAAAGACCCUUUACAACCAAGAUAACCCAUCUCUAGUAUACCCUAACCAAAAAAAAACUUUGAAACAGACUUCAAAGUAAACUCAUGUACAGCUACGGUUUUCUUUUUCUUUUGUCAUCUAACUACAAUUUCUUCUUUAUAUAACUAAAAACCAUUUAUCUAAUAUUAAGAUUAUUUGUAAAGUAAGAUAUUAGUAUAAUAGACUAAAAAUAACAUAUCUAUCUUAUUAAAGUAGAAGUACCUUUUGAUUUUGUUUGGUAACAUGAAUAGUAAAGUUAAAAAAUAAACACAAAUUUUGUUUGGACACAAAGAUAACAUCUAUUUAAUCAAAUGUCGUAAGUGGAUCAGUUAUAAUAAUAUGCCCACCUAAGAAUAUGCCAACAGAUAAUCUGCUUGAUUAGGUUUGCUAAAAUCAGCUUCUAUCAAGGUAUAUACAUCCUCAAAUUUAAUAAUAUCUUCACAUAAAGUCAUAUCUAACUUAUAAAAUAUAUGUUAAUGUUUUUGUAGGUGAUAUACAAAUCACAAAUGCAUUUGAUGCUUCACUUGUAAUCCUCAACCCAACCAUGAAAGAAGCCAUCGAGUUUAGAGAAAAGUAAGUGAGCCAUGACUGAUAGUAUUGGUUAUCUAAUAAAAUUGAAUGCAUUUGCAUGUUUUAAUUGGAAAUUUAUAUUUUGGCGAUUUACAGACUGUUGCAAGUGAAUCUUCCUCUUGCUAUUAUGGGUACAAAGAGUGACAAUCAAGUGAUUAAGCGCCAAAAAACAGAUUGGGACGAUGUUCAAUUCAGAUCAAUUGCUGAGAUAUUGGUGGCAAUUGAGGUUGUAUUAGCAUUUUAUAUAUCUCACUAACAAGCAUUGUAUUGAUUUUUUUUCGGUGUAUUGCAGGUUCAGAGUUGCAAAAUAAUAUGCUCAAUUGAAUCUGUCGAUACAGAUUGGGGUUGGUUCUACUUUGGAUGUUGUGUCUGCAAUAAACGUGUCACUAGGAUUCGUCGGAAUGAGUUGGCUCAAAACGAGAAACCAUUAUGGUAUUGCGAUAAAUGUCGCUCAAAUGUCACAAAGGUUGAACCGAAGUAAGUGCCUCUUUUUCUGUUAUUUUUGUAUUCCCAUGAAUCUGAAUUAUAAUGUUUAUCACUAAUGCGUUUGUGAAUAUAAACAGGUACAAGCUGCAUUUGAAUGUUAAAGAUGACAGUGGUUCAUGCAAAUUGAUGAUGCUUGACACUAUAGGCAGUACUAUUGUUGGUUGUGAGGCUGUUCAAAUUUGGGAUGGGUCAUACGAUGAGGCAAGUAUAUUUUACAAACGCAUAACAAUUCAUUUGUAUAAAUUUUAAUAGUAUUUAUUUUAUUUUAUUUGUAGAUUGAAGAUCCUGAAAUAAUCCCUAUGCCCCUCGAGAGUUUAGUUGGAAAGUCAUUUUCUUUUGGUAUUUCAAUAACCUCUGGAAAUCUAGAUAAUGGAUCAAACACUUUCUAUGUUUCCGAAGUAUCGACUGGUAAUGAUCUUCCUAAACUGGAGACUCAAUCUGAACCUGUUUCGGCUUUAGACACUAAUUCGAGCACUCUGUCCAGUGGAGAGGUUUGUUAUUCAGACUUCGUUUGAUCUAUUUCAGUUGAUAUUUUAUAAGAUUGUUUAUAUACUUAUUUUAGAUUUUUUGUGUUUGUAUUUAUUAUUCCAAGGUUCUGAUGCUCAAGCCAAGCUCUGAGAGUUCAUCUGAAGGAUUCACCACACCAGCUGUCAAGCGAAAGGAAGAAGAUGCUGAGCUGAAAGACAUUACCUCAACCUCUAAGAAGUUGUGCACUAAGCCAGUGAAGUUGGAGAAGAUUAAGGAUGAUAUUAAGUGACUGACGGAUUAGUUGCUUUCUGAAGUGGAUUUUCGUCUCUGGUUUAUUUUUCUGAGUUUAUUUCAUUUGUUUUCCUACCUAAGAGCAUUUUAGACUCUAAUAAUAUUUUAUGCAUUGUCUUUCUACUUAAGAGCGUUUUGAACUAUAAUAAUAUGAUUCAUGUGUUUUUUUAUAUAUUUUGGCAUUCAGUUAACCAUGUUUAAUGAUUUCAUUAUUGGCUGUUCUAUCUUAUUUCUACAAAAAUCGACAGGUCCUAAAUCCUCAUAAUCAUAAACUAGCAUAUUUCACUGAUCCAAAACCUAUAAUUCGACGUCCUAUUCUACCAUACAACUUAGCAUUCUGUUUAGGAAAAUGUGUACAACUUACAUGAGUUCUGUGUAUGAGUUCUGUGUAUGUUCAUAAGUGAAAGUCUGAAGAUUACUUUGAUUUUCCGAGCUUCUCUGAUUGACCUAAAAAAAUAGGAACUUAUGGUUAGUAAAACAAUACAGUUAGGAAGUAAAAAUUCUUAUACAAAUUCGUAGAGAAAAUCAAAAUUCCAACAUAAAAAGUUACAAUAUAAUUAUAUUAAUCGGCUGAUUAAACCAGAAGAUCACAUGAGGAUCUUUUAUAAUUUAUAAGAUCCUCAAUUAAUCCCCAAAAUCUAAUACAGUUUACAUCCUACGCAAAUUUAUUGCUAAUUUGAACGAUUUAGUAACAAUAUCCAAAACAAAUCCUUUUGCAAAUAUCCUAAUACAGUUUACAUCUUAACCAGACGUUUGCAUUUUAAUAUCUUACCAAUAUCGAUGGAACUUUUACUUUGCAAAUAUUUAGUUUCUAUUAUCUUCUUAACAUGAACUAAACUCCUAAAAUUAUUAUAUCGAGUUUAAGAAUAUUUCGCAAAUGCCAAAACAAAAAACAAACCCGUUCUAUCAGACAAUCACCAGUACAUGAAUUUUCAAGGAGCUUUGACAAACUUUCGAAACCAGAACCGAGUCAAGUUCUAUUAGUACCGCUGCCGGAAAAUAACCUAAGUUUCUCAUUCCAAGCAUCUAUGAAACGAAAACGUGAUCUUGACAAAGGUGUCUCUAAUAAAGAGAAUCAGCCUCUUCUUCCAUAUGAAAACAUCCCAACUGGCAGAAUACGAGACGAACAGAGCAUAUAUCGAACUACAAGAGUGCAAAGGGAAAAUGAUUCAGUUCCAUUAACGUCUAUUUUUAAGAGGCUUUGUGAAGGUGUUUCUAAGCAUACUGCCACCACAUCUAUUGGUUCUAUAGAUGAACAAAUCUAUAACACUCCAAAAACAUCAAGAAACAAACGGAAGGGAUUUAGUGGUACUCUAUAUGCAUUUUCAUAAUUUCUAUUUGUAGUAAUUCCUAUUAAAAUCUAGAUUUUUAUAUUCUCUUUGCAAGUUUUGGGAUUGUCAUCAAAUGCUUCAAGCUAUACUCCAGAACAGAGAAGUUGUCUCACUGCGUUAUCAUGUAAGUAAAUAUUACUUACUAUUGAUAUGAAAAGCUUCCAUACUCUGUAUUGAUAUGAAAAGCUUCCAUUUUUUAAUAAUCAGUGUCUACACCUACUUGUCAACUUAAAUUCGAGUUGUUUUUACACAUUCAUAGCAAGAGAUUUAAACAGAGGUGAAGGAAAUGAAGAGCAUGUGAAAAAAACAAAUAAACAAAGGACAACUCAACUACCCAUGCCUAUCAGUCCAGGAGUAGGUUUAUUUGGUUCUACCGAACAGCAAAUAUUAACCACUCCCAAAAACCCAGCAAACAAGCACAAGAGGAAGACAGGUAACUGGUCUUCUAUAUUUCAAAAUUUUGCGCAACCUAAAUUAAAUAUGUAGGCGUUAAACUAAAGUGAAAGAUGUUACUUACUUAUAUCAGAACUGUGUUUUACAUCUUGACAGCAGCUAACAUUACUCCGGAACAGAGAAGACCUCUCACUUCAAUAACCUGUGAGAAAAAUAUAAAAUAUAGAUGUUAUAUAUAAGAUGACAUCGAGUUUUCGAAAUACCAUGUAUGUGUAUGCCUAAUUAUCUUUUUUUGAUUUCCAUAAAUAGCAAGAGAUAGAAUCAAUGUAGGAGACAAUGACUUUGAUGUUAAAAUCUCAAAGAAACGAAGAAAGAACCCUCCAACAGAAUGCUUAGACAUUGCCAAUAUAUCAAAGACCGUUGGGAAUGACAAGGGAAAUCUAAAAUCAAACAAAGGAGCUGAUACAUGCGAAGAUCAUGACAGUGAUGAUGACGAUGCAGACAUCGACUACAAUAUCGAUUGUAGAGGUGGCCUGAAUUACUAGAUUUCUUUUGUAUUACUUUGUCCUUAGACACAUAUUUUUGAUCUUUAAAUAAUAUGCAGGAGUAAUUGAGGAAAUUGAUGAUUCUCUAGAGUUUGACUGUAGUUCCCAGGAGAGUUUAGACACAGAAAGUGAGGAUACCCACUUUGAUGAUUCUGUUGAGCCGGAAACAUGUUCUCCUCACACUGAAUUUCAUAAAGAUGAAUUCACUCAUUCGAAGACAAGUACACGUGCAACAAAGCGUUAUAAAACCAAAAAUUUGAAAAAGGAUGAUGGUAAGAAUAACUUUUAUGUUAACAUUAUUAUGUAUUUCAUUGCUGUGCGUCAAUUUGACAUGUUACAAUCAUUUUUAUCUUUUAAGAUUUUUUUUUUACAAUUUACAGAUUACAUUGAUGAAGGUGAUCCAACAUAUACAUGUUCUCACUGUGGUGCUAUUAUGUGGUAUGGCGAAAGGAUAAAUAAGCGUAAAAAUAGCAAAAAUCCUUCUUUUUCACUCUGUUGUGGACAAGGUCAGGUUGUUUUGCCUCUUUUAAAAGAUCCACCAACAGAACUUAAAAGAUUGAUUGAAGGAGAUGAUCCAAGAUGCAAGCAUUUUCAGAAAAAUAUCAGAGCCUAUAACAUGGUCUUCUCAUUUACUUCUCUUGGUGGGAAAGUUGAAAGAUCUCUAAGAAAAGGUGUUGGGCCAGAGAUGUUUCAAAUGCAAGGAGAAAAUUACCACCUUUUGGGUAGUUUAAAACCACCAGAUGGUAAAGAUGCCAAAUUUGGACAGAUGUACAUCUGUGAUACCGAAAAUGAAGCUGAGAACAGAGCCAAUUGCUUAAGGUAUAAUUUCUCAUUUAAAAAUAUAUCUUCAUUUGUAUUGAACUUCUAUAACUUCUUCCAUGUCAUGAUCGAUAUGGUAUCACAGGAAUUUGAACCUAAUAAUUAUUGUUUCAACUGCAGCCAUGGUAAAAGGAGUUUUAAAGGCAAGCAAAAGGAUAACUUGAGGAAAGAAAUUAUUGAAGUUUUGAUGAAAGUCUUAGAUGAAGUGAAUCCAUAUGUUAAGAACUUCAGAUCAGCAGGAGAACGAUUUAAUACUAAUCCUCAAGAAGCUUUUCAUAUGAGGAUCAUUAGUGAUCGUCUAAAGGAUGGCAGAACAUACAACACACCAACAUCAUCAGAGGUUGCAGCUUUGAUUCCUGGAGAUUUUAAUCUUGAUAUGGAUAAAAGAGAUAUAGUACUUCAGAAACAUUCUGGGAAAUUAAUGAGGAUUAAUGAGAUACAUCCCUCAUAUCUAGCACUGCAGUAUCCUCUAUUAUUUACAUAUGAAGAAGAUGGAUUUAGGCUUGGUAUUCAGAAAGGAGUGACGGAAGCUACUAAGAAGCUGAAGAAGCAGACAAUUAGUAUGAGGCAAUAUUAUGCUUUUCGUCUUCAUGAGCGUAGGAAUGAGUCGCACACUCUUUUAUAUGCUAGGCGUCUGUUUCAGCAAUUUGUUGUGGAUGCCUUCACAACUAUUGAGUCUAACCGUCUACGAUAUCUCAAGUUUAAUCAGUCUACUUUGCGAUCUGAUAGCUAUGACUCUAUCAAACAGUCAGAGACUGCCGGAAAAAUCGAUAUGCAUGACCAAGGAACUGAGUUUGUGUUGCCAGCUUCUUUCACUGGUGGUCCAAGAUACAUGAAGAACAAUUAUUUGGAUGCUAUGACCAUUUGUAAGCAUUUUGGAUUUCCGGAUCUGUUCAUCACUUACACAUGUAAUCCUAAAUGGCCAGAGAUCACCAGGUUUCUAGAGAAAAGAAAAUUGAAAGCAGAGGAUAGAUCAGAAAUUGUUUCUAGGAUCUUCAAAAUGAAACUUGAAUCACUCAUGGAUGAUUUAACAAAGAAGCACAUUCUUGGGAAGACUGUUUCAUGUAAGUAGAUAUUUUUUAUUUCUUUAAUUUCACAGCCAUGUACACUAACUGAUCUUUUAAACCUAAUUUUACAGCCAUGUACACUAUUGAGUUUCAGAAACGUGGUUUGCCGCACGCACAUAUUUUGCUAUUCAUGCAUCCAGAAUUCAAGCUUCCCACCACAGAUGACAUUGAUAAGAUAAUUUGUGCGGAGAUCCCUAAUAAAGACGAAGAGCCAGAGCUAUAUGAUGUGAUUAAAGAUAUGAUGAUGCAUGGUCCUUGCGGAGCUGCUAAUAUGAAUUCACCAUGCAUGGAGAAUGGACAAUGUUCAAAGUUAUAUCCCAAACCAUAUGCUGCGAAAACUACAGUUAAUAGAGAAGGAUUUCCCAUUUACAGAAGGCGCGAGGAGUCUGAAAGAUUCGUGCUAAAAAAUGGGAUAAAAUGUGACAAUCGAUGGGUAAUUCCUUACAAUAAGAAACUGUCUCUUCGUUACAGAGCUCAUAUCAAUGUUGAAUGGUGCAACCAAGCUGGUUCUAUUAAGUACUUAUUUAAGUACAUUAAUAAAGGACAGGACCGGGUGACAGUCGCUGUGGAACCACCUGACCAUGUAAUUAUGAACCAGCUUGAAACCGCAGGAGAAAAUGUAGAGAAAAAAAAUGAAUUCAAGGAUUUCUUCGACUGCAGGUAAUGGACAUUGGUAUAUUUACAUAUCACAAAUUAGAGAUAACUCUUUGGUGAUCAAAUAUUUACUUUAAAAUAAAUCAUUUUUUUUUUGUAGAUAUGUUUCGGUAUGUGAAGCUGGUUGGAGAAUUUUUCAGUUUCCAAUUCACUAUCGAUCUACAGCAGUUGAGAAGCUAAUUUUUCAUCUUCCUGGAAAGCAACAUGUUAUUUUCAAAGGGAAAGAUAAGAUGGAAGCUGUUGUCAAUAGGAAGCGCAUUGAGAAUACUAUGUUCUUAGCAUGGUUUGAGCUGUGUGAAAUUGAUAUGUUUGCUAGAACUCUCCUCUAUGCCCAAAUUCCCAACUUUUAUACUUACCAAAAGAAGCUAAAGAAGUUUACCAGGCGGAAAAGAGGAUUUAGCAUUGGCAGGAUAAAUUAUGCUCCCCGUAAGCAGGAAGAUGCUUAUUAUUUGCGUGUGUUGUUGAAUGUGGUUAGAGGGCCUACCGGUUAUGACUGUUUUAAAACCUUCAAUGGUGUUCUAUAUCCUGAAUACAAAGAUGCAUGUUUUGCUCGUGGGUUAUUAGAUGAGGAUCAAGAGUACAUUGACGAUAUAGUGAGGAGAAGUUUUGAGAGCUUUGGAAGUGAUCUGCGACAUGUGUUUGUUAUGAUGCUGCAUAAUAAUACUUUAUCUAUGCCAGAAACAGUAUGGGAAAAUACUUGGCAGAUUUUGUCUGAAGAUAUUGAGCAUAAUCGGCGGAUUUAUUUCAACAGACCAGGUUAGAACAAUGUAUUUUUGUGUUUGGCUAAUUUCAGAAUCUGUUCAAACGAAAUUGGAUUUGAACAGUAAUUACAACCUGUGCUAAUUUAGAUUUUUGAUCUUUUUGUAGAACUUUUGUUAAGUGAUGAGGAGAAAAAGAAGUUUGCUUUACAAGAAAUUGAGAAGCAUCUGAGGCGAAAUGGGACUUCACUUGCAAACUUUACUUCUAUGCCACAACUUCCUCCUACAGACGAUACUGAUUCAAAUGUUCUCAUAUUAGAUGAGCGGAGUUAUGAUCGUCAAGCACUGGUAGAAACUCUUGAUAGAGACGUUCAGAAGAUGACGGCUGAACAGAGGAAAAUUUUUGAUGAAAUUUUGGAUGCUGUGAAUGAAGAAAGAGGUGGAAUGUUUUUUGUUUACGGAUUUGGUGGUACUGGGAAAACUUUCCUUUGGAAAUUGAUAUCUGCAGCUAUUCGUUCUAAAGGUGAUAUUGUUCUUAAUGUUGCAUCAAGUGGAAUCGCCUCUUUAUUGUUACAAGGCGGAAGGACUGCUCAUUCAAGAUUUGGCAUACCACUUAGCCCUGAUGAGUUUUCUUCGUGUACUAUGGUUCAUGGAUCAGAUCAAGCUAAUUUAGUAAAAGAAGCAUCACUUAUUAUAUGGGAUGAAGCCCCUAUGAUGAGUAAGCAUUGUUUUGAAGCUCUAGAUAGGAGCAUGUCUGAUAUUGUGGGGAAGCAUAGAACUAAACCUUUUGGUGGGAAGGUUGUAGUGUUUGGAGGUGAUUUUCGACAGGUUCUACCUGUAAUACAUGGAGCUGGAAGGGCUGAAAUUGUUUUGGCAGCACUGAACUCUUCUUACCUUUGGGAGCACUGUAAAGUCUUCAAACUCACAAAGAACAUGCGAUUAUUGUCUGGUGAUUUGACACCAGAAGAGGCACAUGAACUUAAGGAAUUCUCAGAGUGGAUCUUAAAGGUUGGAGAAGGUAAAAUUGCAGAGCCUAACGAUGGCGAAGCUGAGAUAGAUAUUCCUGAAGAGUUUUUGAUUAUGGAUUCGGAUGAUCCUAUAGAAGCCAUAAGCAAAGCUGUGUAUGGGGAUAAUGCGUCGUUACAAGAAAACAAAGAACCUAAAUUUUUCCAAGAGAGAGCUAUUCUAUGUCCUACUAAUGAAGAUGUGAACAUGAUAAAUGAAUACAUGUUGGAUAAGCUUGAUGGUAAGAUUUCGGUUUUACUCCUUAACUAACGAAAUUUUUUUUUAUUUUUUGAGGAAUUCUGUGCUGAUUAAGAAUUGUCAUUCCAGGUGAGGAAAAGAUCUACAUCAGCGCAGAUAGUAUUGACCCAAUAGAUAAAAUUUCAAUUAGUGAUGAAGCUCUUGGUCCUGAUUUCUUAAACACUAUUAAGGUGUCUGGAUUACCAAACCACAGUCUUAGACUCAAGGUUGGUUGUCCUGUUAUGGUUCUAAGGAAUAUUGCUCCUACAGAAGGAUUAAUGAAUGGAACGAGACUGCAGAUCACUCAGCUAAUGGAUUUUAUGGUUGAGGCUAGAAUCAUCACUGGAGAAAGAGUUGGAGAGAUAGUAUAUAUUCCCAGAUUGUUGAUACUAGAUUACCUUUUAAAAUGCGCAGACGGCAAUUGCCUUUAGCUGUGGCUUUUGCUAUAACUAUAAACAAAAGCCAAGGACAGUCAUUAUCAGAAGUUGGGCUCUUCCUGCCAAGACCGGUCUUUUCACAUGGACAGCUAUACGUGGCAAUUUCUAGGGUGACGUCAAAAAAAGGUUUGAAAAUAUUGAUUCUGGACAAAGAUGGCAAACCUCAGAAAAAAACCAUGAAUGUUGUGUUUAAAGAGAUUUUCAACAAUCUUGAACAGAGGGAGUGAUGAGGUAUGUCUUUUGAAUAUUAAUUUUCCCUGGACUAUUUUAUUUGUAACAAUUUUACCGUGGAUGCAACUAUAGUUUGGAUUAGCUUAUAUUCCUCAAAUGCAUGUUCCUGUAGUCUAAGAAUGUGUUUGCUCAUUGCAGAUUUUAUCGCAUCAAGGAUAUGGACUCUACUUUCAGAAGUUUGGUAGACUGAAAUUAUUUUCUAUUUUUAGGCACAUUUCAAUUUUUUCCCGAACAACUUCAUUCCUAUAAUAAUGCAUGUCAUUCUAUUCAAUAAAUUUGACUUUUUCAAUUGCAAUCACAAGUAUUCAAGAUGUCCAUGCAACUGCAUAGAAAGGACUAUUGCAAUCACAAGUGUUCAACGAGACUUAUACUAGAAGCAGCCAUAACCUAAACACUAUUGAUAUAGCAAAGUAUAAUCUGAACUCUAAUUCGAUAGGAUUUUAAAUUAUAUGAUUUUAUGAACUACUAAUCUUUGCAUAUCAGUGUGACAAAUGAUGAUGGAGAGAAAUCAUGUAUAUCACUAACCUUCACUUUGUUCUAGAGACUUGAUCAGCGCUUUGUUCUCUGCCACCAACCAGUAAAUUUGCCUCACACCAUACUCUCUUCCUCAAUUUCGGAGACAUUUUCCUUCUAAGUACGUCUGAUACGCAACAGUCGAAUGUCAAAAAAAUUAGAUUAGUACAUUGGAGAGUUCCUGUAACUAUUUUAAAUGUAGAAUAAUAACAUGUGUAGUUGAAUGAUCUCGGGAGAAAACGCAAACAAAUCUCUAAUGCGAUUUGAAAUCAAAUCAAGUAUCAGAAGUAACAAUUGAAUUAUUGAUAAACCCCCAAAGAAUCAAACAGCAAGACAUAUCUUCAGAACUAAAAAACCGCACCAAACUUGUCUAAAUGUUGGAUUGUUAAACUAUAGAAGGUUAACUCACACAAUCUCGGAGCCUAAUCAUAGUAUUCUUCAGGUUUCAGGUCACUCCAACCACCGUCAUUCUGUACAAGGCGUUUGAGCAAUAAGAUCUAACCUGAGUAUAACAAAGAAGAUAGGAGAAAUAAGAGAUAACCUGGUAUCCGAAUGCAUCAUAAUUACGAGGCUGAAUCUUGAUUAAACAGAAUCGUCUUCAUCGAUUCAAUUUUCAGAGGGUAUAUUUUAAUAAUUGAUUCGCGAGAAGAUGAAAGAUCAUCUUGCCGACAGAGAGAGAGAUAGAAGAAACCUUAAUUUGUUAGGUUUAACGUUUUUUUUUUCCCGGAAAAAACUGUUACUAUAGAAUUGGGCCACAUUAUUUAAUUUCCUAAUAUGAUCCAUUUUGAUAACUCUCUUAUUUAUUGGUCCACUAAAAUUUUUGUUGUUUUAUUAUAGUUAUUGGUAUUUAUAGUUUAUAUAUAAUACAUAGGUAAUCAUAUAGUUAUCUCAAAAUAAAUUUAUUGUUCGUUAAUACUAUGGAUAUUUUUUAGACAAUAACAAUCAUAUGAUAGCGAAUAACGUGGACCAUACUUUAUACAACCCAAUAAUUUCAUAUUGGAUAUAAAUUGAUAAUAAUUUUACAUAGUACAGCAAACACCCGCCCAGUCGGGCGGGUCAAGAUCUAGUUGCAUUUAUAACACAUGUGACGACAAUUAUACUUAAUUAUGUCAAUCUAUAUAGAGCAAAUUUGCCAAAUAACAUACUGCUAAAAGUACAAAAAGAAUAUUUAAUUGCCCCCAUUAAUUUUAUCAUGAAUAUGAAAACCUCUCACGAAUAUGAAAAUAGACUAGUAACUUAUAUUCAGUCAUCUCAAUCUUUGGAUACAAGGAAGCCGUCGGUUUCCGACAAAAAGAAGCCGGCGGUCAGAAAAUACUUCCCAUGAUCUUUUUUGUUUGCAUUAUUAAUCGAAUCCAUAUGUUUUCUGUAUAACUACACGUGUACGAUAUCUAAUUGAUAUAAUACCAUUAUACAAGAAAAUCAAAUCAUAAGAAUGUGGACAUGAUUAUGUUAGAAAAGUCGUGAUCGGUUGGGAUUACGUUACAAAGAUGCCUCGCUUAAACUUAAAGAUCGACCUUUAGGUUUGGAGUUUUCUCCGCAUUCCUAAUCCUUCCAAACCCUAGUUUUUAACUAUAUAUCAGUCACAUGUUCACAAUAAUAAUGUAAGAUUAGUUAUUUAGCUCCAAAACGUUAGGCAAUGUACAUAUUUUGAUGGCCGUCCAAAAAGAAAAACAAAACUAUACCUAAAAGCACCGUUAGUGGUGUAGUAUCUCCACAAACUAUUUAGUUAAUUUAAUAUUCACAUUGUUUUUCUGUGUAAUUAAAAUUAAAGAGAGAAAAAACAACUGUAUAUUAUCGGUCAUACCACCCGAGGGAUUAAGAACAUUUUCAUUUCCACUCUAUUUUUUUCCUCUAAAAUGGAGUAAAAAUAAAUAUGAAAUAAAUAGUGAUUCAACCCAAUUUUAUAUCUCAUACUCCAUAAAUAGAGUAAUCUAUUUUUUGUUUGUUCAUCACUUUAUUAUGGAGUGGAAAAUGGAAUAGGGUUAAAACAAUUUUACUUCAUUUUCACUUAUACUCUAUUUUGGAAAAAAAAAUGGAGUUUUACAUUGGAGAUGCUCUAAGUCUAUUUUCACCUACGAUUUUUUAUUAUACACUUUUUCUUUCUAUUUUUUCUAAUUUUUAAAUAAUUUAAUUAUUAGAGAAUUGUGAAAAGAUACCACCGCUGCUCCUGUUCUUAAAACCCUUGAUGUUUUUCAGUUAGUUGUUUUUUUGGUAGAGAGCAAGAAUGAUCUAAGUUGGUGAUCAUUUCGACCAUUGAGCAGUCUUUUUAAAUCACUUGAAAAGUUAAAGUUGAUUAAAUAGCUAACUGCAACAUUUUCUACUUCAUUAAUCAUUAAAUACAGUAUUUGACUAGUGACACAAAUAUCUCAACACAUAUGGUUUAGAUGCCUCGUGACUAGUUUUUGGUUAUAUAUAUUUAAAUCAACUUUGAUCAGUAUAAAAAUUAUUUUGAAAUAAAAAAAUUAUGGGAAAUUAUUACGUUCACGAUUAAUUAUACAUUACAAAUUUAGUUUGUGAGUUGGACCAUUUAAAUAAUAAAAUCAUUAUACGAGAAUAUCUCGUAAUCAAUAAUGGAUUAAAAAUGUUUAUGAAGACACUUUAUCAACUUCGAUUUUUCUUCCUCGUUUAAAUAAUUGAAUAUAACCUCCCCCACUUAGUUUUCCACAUAAAAAGACAAUAGUUUUGCCUGCCUACACCCGAGUGGAGAAAAAAAAGAGAAUCUUAUACUUUCCGAAGUAUUAUCACCAUAAAAAUUCUACAUAGAAAAAUAAAACAGCAUAACAACGACAUCAUUCUUUCAUUAUUAUAUCAAAAAACCUAACACCCUUUCAUUAUUGUUCCCACUGCAAACCAAUUUGCUUCCUUGAAUGGCAAGUCUUUUCUCUUCACCUCUCACCUCACGUUCUCUCUCUCUUCUCAUCAACCUCUUCUUCAUCUUCCUCAUCUAUCUCCAUUUCUCUUCACCAAAUCCUCCUCACUCUGGAUCCAUCAAACACCUGAACUCUCUCGCCGGCGUUGACAGCUGCAGCGAAGGACUCGCCGCCCUCGACGACCACCGUUCCAAGUGUUCUUACAUUAGCUCUCAAGAAAAAUGUGGCCAACAGGGUUACAUAGACUAUCUCAAGAUCUUCUUCUGUGUGUUCGGAGAAUCCCCUGUUUUGGGCCAUCUAGUUUUAUCCAUCUGGUUGUUUGUUCUGUUCUACUUGCUCGGAGACACGGCCGCGAGUUACUUCUGUCCUUCUUUGGACAGCUUGUCUAAGGUCUUGAAGCUGUCUCCCACCAUGGCUGGAGUUACGCUUCUCUCUCUCGGAAACGGUGCGCCGGAUUUGUUCUCAAGCGUUGUCUCUUUCACGAGGUCGAAUAAUGGCGACUUUGGGCUCAACUCUGUUUUAGGCGGUGCGUUCUUCGUCUCUAGCUUCGUUGUCGGGACGAUUUGUUUGUUGAUUGGGUCGAGAGAUGUCUCUAUCGACAAGUAUAGCUUUAUCCGCGACGUGGUUUUUCUACUGGUCGCUCUUUGCUGUCUCGGUCUGAUCGUUUUCGUCGGAAGAGUAACCAUUUGGGUCGCACUUUGUUACAUCUCCAUCUAUCUCCUCUAUGUAGGGUUCUUAUCCGCUUCGCAUUUCUUGGAUCGCAAGAAACCUUUAUCUGAUCAGAUUCUUCGUACCAAAGAGGAUUUAGCCGAGAUGGGCGUCCCAUUCCUCGGCUAUAUCGAUGAGGAGAAGCCACUACCGCCGCAGAAAGUUGUUCAAGAAUCAAGAACUCAAGAACAAGAAUUCAAGAUUGUGAUUCUUGAUUUGCCACCGAAGCAGCCGUCUUGCUUCUCGGUGCUAGUGAGCAUCGUAGGACUACCUCUAUAUCUCCCCCGUCGGCUCACCAUCCCCGUUGUCAGUGAAGAGAAGUGGUCAAGGCCUUGCGCGGUUGUUUCCACAGCCAUCGCACCUGUUCUACUAACCGAACUUUAUUGUUCUCAUUACAGCGGGUCCAAAAGAAGCCUAACACUGUACAUAAUCUCUGGUAUAAUCGGAUUAUUCUUCGGUAUCUUAGCCUACUUGACGACGGAAAAGUCUCGGCCACCAAAAAAAUUCUCAUUGGUUUGGCUUCUAGGCGGCUUCACAAUGAGUGUGACAUGGACAUACAUCAUAGCACAAGAGCUAGUCUCAUUGUUAAUAUCUCUAGGGAAUAUCUUUGGUAUUAGUCCUUCCGUGUUAGGACUAACCGUGCUAGCUUGGGGCAACUCUCUAGGCGAUUUAAUUGCCAACGUGACAGUGGCGGUUCAUGGAGGCAAGGACGGUGCGCAGAUAGCACUUUCCGGGUGCUAUGCGGGUCCGCUAUUCAACACGGUGAUUGGACUAGGCGUGCCACUUGUCAUAACUUCUUUGGCUGAAUAUCCCGGGGUCUAUAUCAUUCCAAGUGACAAUUCGUUGCUUGAGACACUAGGGUUCUUAAUGGUAGGCUUGCUUUGGGCACUUGUGAUAAUGCCAAAGAAGAAGAUGAGGCUUGAUCGGCUUGUCGGUGGAGGGUUACUAGCUAUUUACCUAUGUUUCUUGUUCUUGAGAUUGGCUAGGGUUUUCGGAGUCCUUGAUAUCGACCGGUGAAGUUUAAAGUCUUUGUGAAUUUUGUAAUAGUUGAUUGUUAAAGAAGAAAUUUGCAAAUAGAUUAAAGUUGUGGGUCUUAUUAUUCCAUAAAUUUUAUUUAUUGUGAAUACUAUGAGAGGGAUGGCUAACUUUGUUUGUUGGUGAACAUUCAUCAUCUGUCAAACUUAGUACCUCACUAGAAUUAAGAAAGUAUUGGCAUGUUGUUCCAGGUUCAUUGUUCAUGGAUUGUAAGUAUAUAUUUCUACUACUUACUAAGAUCAAAGCACUGUUGACCUGAUGAUUUUAUUUACCAAGAAUAUCAAACAUUUGAAAAGGUCUAGCAUACUAAGUACUAUAUAUGAACCUCAUGCUAUGUGAACUAAACAACUACUUACUAAGAUCAAAGCACUGUUGACCUGAUGAUUUUAUUUACCAAGAAUAUCAAACAUUUGAAAAGGUCUAGCAUACUAAGUACUAUAUAUGAACCUCAUGCUAUGUGAACUAAACAGUAUAAAUUUACUGGCCAUAUAGUUUUAUAUAAGACUAAAUUCUAUCUUGUAAAUAACGUAUAACUGUUUGGCUGAUUGUGGUUUUGGCUCAACGGAUUAAUUAAAAGAAUAAGAAGAUAGACCUUUGAUUUAAACUAAAAAGUUUCAGUUAGGUAAAAUCAACCGGAAUGAAGCAGAUUUUACCUAAUUAAAUGUAAAGCCCCUAAUCAACUUAUAUGAUAAUAGGGACAUUGCUAAGUGUCACAUUGAAUUUUGAAUUACUAGAAAAGGCCAAAAUUUGGAUUUAUCCUAACUCAAAAGAAACAAUUUGCAGACAAACAAGAACAAUGUGCCAAAUUAUUAUGUACAGGACUCAUGAGAUAAGGAAAUUUAAUAUAAUAGAAAAAACACAUCUUAUCUUAAGUUUUUUUUUUUAAUAAUGCAAAUUGGCUAAAAGGACAAGUAUUGUCCAUUCAACUAACUCCCACACUUCUGGGAAAUGGACUAUAAUAAUUCCCUGUCAAAUAGAUCAAAUAUAUUUCCACGAAGGAAAAACAAAAUACACUAUAAACAGGAUAUAUAUAAGAUUGUGGGUAUGUUUACUGUCCACUGUUCACUUCAUGCAUAAUUAGAAGAUUGUUGUCUCGUCGAGUAUCUGACACCUAUUCAAAUUCUAGCUACUCAAUUUGAAUUCCAUAACUAUAAAAUUCAUUACAUAUUUAUGUGUCCCAUACUCGAGAUAUAAAUGAAAAACUGUACUAUUCAUAUCUCUAUACUACAGAGCCUUUUAUCUUUUAAUGAAUUAAAAGCCAUCCAUAACUCAAGUAGUCAAGUGUAACAAAUCAUUGAUGAAAGUUAAAACUAUAACAUUGUAUCAAUUUUAGACUGUAUCCAUUUAUGACGAAAACUCCUAUGUUAUAAAUCAACAUUGGUCACCCAUACGUGUAUACAAAAUUGAUUCCCUUCACAGCGUAGAAGAUCAUACAAAGUACAAACACAAGUUACAUAAUGAAACUGUGAGUUGAAAUAAAAAGGUUAGUGAGAAUCUCCAACUGUCUGUACAAUUCUUAUAGACAAGGAAGCCAAGUAAAUAAACAAAAGCCCUAUACCCAUCACAGCACCAAGCCUCAUUCUAUUACCAAACAGAACCAAGAACGACCAAACCAGUCCUAUAACCACAAACCCAAGACUCUCCAACACACGAGGAUCCGUCUUAAUCACAAUACUCGACGGAUAAAUCUCCCACGCGCAUCCCACAAGCGACACCCCUAGAGCAAACAACGUAUUAAAGAUAGGACCCGCGUAACAUCCCGACACAGCCACUUGAGCUCCUUCGUCCCCAUCGUGCAGCGCCAUCGUCACGUUGGUUAUAAGAUCUCCUAUAGAGUUCCCCCAAGCGAGAACCGUAAGGCCCAAGAUCGAAGGGCUUACACCGAAGAUGUAGCCUAACGAAGUCAAAAGCGCGACUAGCUCUUGCGCUGAUAUGUAACUCCACGUCAUGCUCAUUACAAACCCUCCUACUAACCAAGGUAGUAACCACUUCUUUGGCGGGUUUGACUUCUUCGUCGUGGCUCCUGCUACAACACCGAGAACUAUACCGACCGAACACCCGGUUAUAUACACAACCCCUGCCUCGAAGCUUGUCGGAUUCCGCUUCCAGUUCCAUAAGAAAGACAACAGAACCGGAGCAAACGUAACCGAAGCAACAGCUAUCGGUUUAGACCAUCUCUCUUCACUCACAACAGGAAUAGUCAAUCUCCUCGGCAAGUAGAGAGGCAAAGUGAUAACCCAAACCACUAACUUCCAGUAACAUCUCCCAUCAUCAGCAGCAACAACAACAACAACAUCUUCAUCAAGAUCAUCUCUCUGCUCCAAGAUUGGUUCACCAAGACUAUUACUACCCCUUUUAUGAACCGACUCAACAUCAAACGCACAGCUCUCUCCACCAAACCUCCAAGAUAGAUACACAAAGACAACAUAAACAGCGUACAACGAACAGAACCCAAGAGCUCCCCAGAGAUUAAUCUUCCCAUAGACCAAGAUCAAAGCUAAUGAACCAACCGCAGCGCAGAAGAAGCAAACGUCUCUUAUAAAAGCAGACCUCUCGACCCUAACCCUUCUCCUAUGCAACGAAACGCUAAUGAUCCCAACCACUACGCAGGUAACAAAAGAAGACCCUCCAACAACAGUGUUGAGACCAACAUCGUAAGUUCCCUUUGACUCCCCCAUGAAAGAGACCAAACUCGCGAACAGAUCAGGAGCGCCGUUACCGAGAGAGAGGAGAGUCACACCCGCAACAGUUGGAGAUAAAGUUAAGAGCUUUGAGAGAGACUCGAGAGACGAACAGAAGUACUCAGAAGCUGUGUGACCCAAGACGUAGAAGAGGACGAGAAGCCAGAGGAAGAGGAGGGACUGACCCAGUAAUGGGAAUCCAUCGAAGUUGCAGUAGAGGAAGGAGAGGUAGUCGAUGAAGCCUUGGCUCGCGCAAGGGUCGAUGGAUUUGAGGUAAGCGCACUUUGAUUUGUAGUCGUGGAAGUGAUUCAGAGCACUGCAAUUGUUGUCUGAUUUAGGUCUCAGGGCGCUGGAAUCAACGGGGCUUGUGAAGAGGAGACAAGAGAAGAGGAUGAGGAAUGAGUAACCAGAACGAACUGAAGAAAAUGGAUAUCCCAUCAAUCAAGUGAAACCUGGAACUCGAGAAAAAAACAGAGCAAACCGGAUCAAAAACAGAGCAAACCGGAUUAAAAACAGAGCAAACAGCAAAGGUGAGAUUUUUACGAAGGAAAUUAAAAUAUAUUUAAUGGGUUUGCUUCAACAGAUCAUGAAACGAACUUAACGCGGAGAGAGAGGGAGAGAGGAGGAUAAAGCACUGACCUUUAAUAAGAUUUGGAUAAAGCAAAGAAGGAAGGAAUCUACUGGACUACGGAAGAGUUCUCGCGGGGAAGAAGACACGCACACCCACAAACACACACACACUUGAAGCGGACCUGUUGAAGACAAACGUCAGGAAACAAAGAAUCCGAAUUGUAUUUUAGCUUUUUUUAAAUAUAAAAAUUGUCAUUACCCUUUUGGGGGCAUCGGUGUAUAUGGAAACGAGCAUAUGUGUCGCCUUCACGAUCGACCUUGCGUCACUGUCCCAUUCCAUUACGUUUUCAAGGAAAGGGAUAGGAAGACGAGGCUUUAUUAGCUUUUCCACAGUUAAACUAUUAUUUUAAGAAGCCGACCAGCAUAUCUUUUUGUGCUUUUUGACUAUGAAGACAUUCUGGUUUUGUUUGUUGUUAUCAAUAACCGAUCUAAAUCAAACCGGUUUAAGAUUCAAACCGGAAUUGCUCGUUGAAUUUGCUGGAAUUACAAAAUGAGAACGGUAUGUUUUAACUUAUACCGGAUAUAGUUUAGUCUUGAAUGUUUUUAUUUAAAUUAUUAAUGAUGUUUUGAUGACAAGAUAUAACAUUAAUUUUGAUGUUUUGAUGAAAAUUAUAGAAUUUCGUUUUUACUUAUUUGCUGGUGUUUCAUUAUCUGUGUGAACUCUUUCUACUAGUCAUUAGUAAUAGAGCUUAGAUCACCGACUCUAGUCUGUUACGUCCCCAGUUCCAUAAUUUAGGAUAGCUUGAAAAUGUAUUAACAAGAAGAAAUUAAUAGUCUAAUGGCAUUCUAAUUGAAUGGGAGACUAGUAACUUCUAAAUUAAUUUACACAUUGAAUGUGAAAUUUUUAUUUAUAGAUAUUACAAACAGGUUGAGCCAGCAACAAUAAUCAUAAGCAAAACUGCAGACACAAACAGAAAAUAAUUUUUUUUAAAAGAAUUCCAAUAUAUAAAAAAAGAUUGAGGAAAUAUAUUUAGAGUGUCCACAUAAAUAUGAAAAUUCAGGCCGAUUAGAUUCUCAUAACUUGUCAUGUCAGCUCUAUUUAGACAUCUCAUUCUCCGCGAAUUAGUCUUAAGUUAAAGUUACAUUUUCUAGAUUAAUGGCAAAUAUAAAUUAUAAUAUUUUGUCUAAAAAUAUUUUAACGUUUUAAGUAGAUAUUAUGUUUGAAUCAUCAUUUAAUUAGAUGUAUAAUUAAACUCAUUCUCUCUAAUCAAAGUAAUUUUAUAUGAUUUUUUUCAUUGUGCACAUUUAUGAUUCAAUGGACAUCAUUGAACAUCAUAACAGUAAACAACUCUGAAAUUUGUUUACUCUGAACAUUGUGAGUAAUUUUUCGGUUCGGGUUUUUCGGAUCAGUACUAUUCAUUUAAAAACUUUAACCCAUACAUUUUUUUUUUCAAAUUUUUGAUUUAAAAAAACGUCUCUCAGUAAUUAGAAUUUUUGGGACUAACAACGAGAAAUUUUAUAUCGAAAUACAACUUUGAUAUCAAAUUUAGUAUAUGGCAAAGUGAAAAUGGAAAAUAAUAAACACAAGAACUUAAUAUUGUGCAGUAUUUAAAGUUAAAUGCUACAAAAAGUUAUAAUUAUCUUAUUAGAUAAUCUAUAAUAAUCUAUAAAUCGUUUUGACAAAACAUAUUUUAAAAUAGAAAAUCUUUUAAAAUUUAAUAUUAAACUGUUUAAAUAAAAAUAUUAUUAACUCUUUUGAAAUCAUAAACCAGUAACUUAAAAUAAAAUAAAAAAGCAAAGCAUGCAAAAAAAAAACA